This 68140-nucleotide long non-coding RNA is filed under the name Triticum aestivum (bread wheat). RNAcentral's name for it is "long non-coding RNA (TAES_LNC022167)". Lineage: Eukaryota; Viridiplantae; Streptophyta; Magnoliopsida; Poales; Poaceae. The record is from RNAcentral.
UUUUUUUCUCUGAACGAAAAUAUACCAACAUCAUGGAUCCGCUUACCUUCCCUUCAUUGGGAGAGAAGAACAGUGGCAUAUGCGAGUGUUGCCUUUCUUGAAGACGGUGAGGGAGAAGAGGAUUCAGCGAAGAAUGAAAUGGUGGUUGCUUCGUCCGUCAAACUUAGACUGCGGGGGGGUGGGGUUUUGUGAUAUGACGGCUCGUUACUGCCGCGCUACAACCGGGGUGACUCUCCGCCUGCAUACUACCUUCUAAUUUGGUGGAUGGCAUUUGGGCCCACGCGCUGCAUGGCCCGCAUGUUGGUGAACAAAAGUAUAACAGCAUUCAGUAGAGGGGGAUGUUUCAAUGCCCUAGGAGGAGCCAGAAGCGGUAGAGUGUCUCCACUGUACUAGUAAUAAUUGUUUUUCUGGGUAGCUGUAGAGUGUCUCCACUGUACUAGUAGUAAUUGCUUCUCUGGGGCCAAGACAAAACAGCCCAUCCACACUAGUAAAUAGUAAAAUCAAUUCAAAAGCCCUAUAUUUACUAAAUGAGAGGCGCUACCCACACCCAGCACACCGCCCCCCAAAAAACCAUGGGUGCUCUUCUUCUUCCUCCUUGAUCCCACCCACCUCACGUCAGCUCGCUCCACUCGUACCCCCAAAUUCCUCACCUCACUCCUACAGAAGACCCCAACUCCCCUUCUUCCUCACUACUACAGAAAAAACCUCAGCUCCCCUUCUUCUUCACUCGCACUACAACUAGGCUCGUCAUUCGUUACUCUGCUCAAAUCCGUGAGCGCGACGAGACACCCUCGAGGAAAAUGGAGUCGGCUGACCCAAGCGCCAAGAAGAUGAGGCUCCCGCCAGCGGCGACGCCUGUUGUAGAUCCCGCACCCGGCAGCGCAGGGAGAAGUGGCGACCCCGCCCCCACCGGAUCCCAGGAACCCAUAGAAUCUCGGGUGGACCGCAUCAGCGAUCUCCCGGACGCCGUCCUUGGGGAGAUCAUCUCGCUUCUCCCCACCAAGGAUUGCUGCCGCACCCAAGUCCUCUAAAUUCGGUGGCGCCCUCUAUGGCGCACCAUGCCCCUUAAUCUCGACUGUCGUCAGCUAUCUCUCUUCAAUGAUUUUGAAAUCCCCAGAGCCAUCAUCUCCUCCCACCAGGGCUCCGUUCAAAGCCUCUGCUUCCCGUCAUGCUACCUGAGCAAGCAUACCAUGCCGUGCAUGGUGGACGCCUGGCUGAAAUCCCCUGAAUUCACAGAACUACAGCUGCUUGAGUUCUACUAUUCCCCUGGAAAUCACAUACCACAUACCGAAUGACAUGAACUUGUGCCCUCAACACCGAUGUCCAUCUCACGGUUUUCCUCCUCUCUCCACACCGCCACCUUACGCUGUGCUACCUACCAGACAAUCUGGUACUAAACCUUCGACUCCCAUUUCUCAAGAAAUUUUCACUUGUGCGGGUUCGUAUAUCGGAGGCCUCGUUGCACAGCAUCAUCCACUCCAGUUGCCCUGCCAUGGAGUGCUUGGUGCUUGUUUUCACAGUUAGAAUCGAUUGUCUCCAAAUAAAGUCGCCUAACCUUGUAAGAAUUGGAAUUUCUUAUGACAGAAGGCAGCUCAUCAUCCAAGAUGCCCCUUCACUUCAAAGGUUGAUCCUUGAUUCUAGUUAUUCACCGUUGCAAAUAACCGUCCUCUCUGCGCCUAAACUGGAGACCUUGGGUGUAAUACAUGAUCUCUGUGCUCAUUUCAAUAUGGUGUUUGGCUCCAUAGUUCUUCAGGUACUUUAUAUUAUCAUCUACACUUGUAACCAUAAGCUGCAUUUUAAAUUUCUACCCAUAAGUUAUAUAUCAUCUUGGAGUACACAUUUUGUACUAAUAUUAUGUUCUAUGCUCAAUGAAGAGUUUCUCCAUGGAUGGCCUAUCAAUGGUGCUGGAUUCUAUCAAGAUCUUAUAUAUCCAAAUGAUUAGUUUUGAUCUGAACAAGACUAUUGGCUUGCUGCAAUGCUUUCCAUGUCUGGAGAAGUUGUAUAUAAAGGUGAUAAUUUCACACGCACAUUGGAAGCCCGCAUAUAGUGUACUAGAAUUAACCGUUCAGCUGUUGCUCUUUCGACACUCUUUUUUUAGACCUUAACUGUUUUCAAUCUUCAUGUCUAUUUAGGCAACAGGACGGGGUAAGAAAGUUAUAACCAAUCGGUGGAUUCAUAAGAAUCGGGAUUUUCUCACUUCUCAUGAGAUUUGGUUGAAGACAAUAACGCUAGAAUGAUAUGUAGCCAACCGUGCAAACACUAGAUUUGUCACAUUCUUCCUGCUGAAUGCGAGGUUACUAUUGUCCAUCAGGCUUAAGUUUAUCAGCAGCAUGGUUUUGAUGGAUGGCUAUGUCGAAGAGCAAAAAGAGGAGUUUCAGGUGGGCAAAAGAGCAUCUGAACGUGUCGGGCUUCUAUUUACAACAUAUUGUGGUCAUAAUCCAGUAAAUUUUAUGACCCAGGGUGUUCAUUCUAUGGACAUGACCGAUCCAUUUGACUGUGACUGCCAAAAACUCUGCUGGAGUUAGAUGUUGUUGCCCUUUUCAACCUGGGUUUUUUUGUAAACCUGAUGAACAAUUAACCCUCGUGCUUUUGUAUAGUUUGUAAGUUGGAUUUAGAUGUUCCUGCCCUUUUCAACUCGGCUGUGACUGUCAUAUUUUAUUUGAAACAAGGCAUGGCUUGCCAUUCGUUUAAUUUAGAGUGAAAUAUUGUAACAAAUCCCAACCAAGGGACAUAACAUCACUCUUGCCGGUUGCUUGAUCUCACUGUGCAUUACAGAAGCCAAGUGAUUAGCCCCCACCAGCACCCACAAACUUAUUUCGAACUAGCACAUCAAAUGGGCUGUAAAUUUUCAUAGGAAAGGCUGCAUGACCGUGACAGAUUUGGAUUCUGACAUUUGGGACCCGCGAGGAAAUAGCCUAGCGAGUCAACAAACAAUUCUACCUACCAGCCGUUGGAUUGACAUCCAACAUCUGUCGUGUAUCUUCUAUCUCUUGUCUUCUUCCUCCAGCCGCCCAAACUGAACCACCCCGUUGGCUCCGCCUGCUCCCUCAUCCCAAGGCUGGCUGUGCCUCCGCCGCCCUACCGUACAUACCCUCCAACCUUGGCCAGUCCCUCCCUCUAUUCCCCCACAUGUCCUGUUAUUCUCCGGCAACAUCAGCCCCAACAUGCACCCGCACCCGAACCAGUCAACCCUCGUACUCCCCUCCGCCUGCGACUGGACCGGCGCAUCUUCCACGACUCCUGUUUGUUCCGUCCAAGGCCUCGCCAUCGUCCUCUGCCUUGUGGCCUUGGUUCACUCGCCGUGCGCGGUGCACCGCCCUGUUGCGUUGUCAACGUCGUCAACAACCAAGAGGAACAAGGAGAUGAUUGUAUGUGGAGAGGAUGACAGUAGGGACCCACUAGCGUCAUGGCAGUACGCAAGCAAGUGCCUCUUUAUUACAAGCCCAAAAAUAUGGUUCCUCCUAAUGGUUGGACAUCUGGGGCUCACGCCAUUGUCAACGUAGUCAAUAAACGAGAGAAUUACACUACGAGUGGGUGACACCAGGGACCCAGCAGGUCGUGCAGUUUUUUUUUGAGGAACAAGCAGUUGUUAUUUAUACUAGUUUUACGACAGAUCAGGGUAACAACGGGGCUGUGCGGGGGUCGUGGCCCAUCUAGCCAGGGUUUUCUUUAUGUUUACCACAUCAUGAGCCCAGUUGUGUUUUUUUCUUGCUGAAAAUGGCUAGCCCAGUUCUAUUUUUUUAAGAAAUACCCAAACAAGGCCUACUUGCUUUAUCGGCCCUGCUGGGCUGCAAAUCUUUCAAGACGAGGAGAGUUUCAUUCGGUUGACAGUCGUACUCCGCUCCGCGUGGGCAUCUCCACUGUCGUGUCUUCCCCGGCUCCGCGUCGUCCCCUUCCUAGGCCUCGUCAUCGUCGUCCACCGCCCUGGUGCUCUCGGCACAGCGUGGUCAAUGUGGUCAACGACCGACUUUCGUCAGAAGAGUAUUGUACGUGGAGAGGCUGACAGUUGGGUCCACGGCGGCCGCAAGGAAGUGCCUCCUUAUUACACGCAAAAUAAUUAUUCCUCCACCUGACAGCGGGGACCCAUCGGACGGGUCACCGUAUUUCGCGAAAAAAAUGUUUCCCCCCUGACUGCUCGGACCUACCAGCUACACCUUUGAACGCAAGGAAGUGCGUCCGGGCAAAAAAAAUUCGCCAGCUGACUACUGGGACCCACCAGCUACACCUUCGCACGCAAGGAAGUGCGUCCGGGCAAAAAAAAACAAACUAAUUCGCCCCCCUGACUGCUGGGACCCACCAGCUACAUCUUCGCAUGCAAGGAAUUGCCUGACAGUCGGGACCCACCUGGUCGAAGCGUAUGUAGCAUUGUCAUUCUAGUCGCGGACGUGUACGUACAUACACGUGGAUGUAGAGGAACGCACGUAUCGUAAUAGAGGCGCGCACAUAGCAUGUACACGUACGUACAGCGGCCAGGGUGCAAGAAAGAAAAUACGGCCACGUAUGUGUACAUACGGGCGGGGUCUCGAACGCCUACUCGCGCAUAUAUACGUACGGCCAGGGCUCGUGGACAUUGGCUGGGUCGGAACGGAGAAACAGCAUCGUCGUCGUGUUCAUGGGGAGCCAACCGGCUGGGUCGGAACAGAAUGCGUCGUCGUGUUCAUCGGGAGGGCUUGGACGGAACAUGCGAUGGAAACGAGGCCUGGCGUACUGCAGAACGGAGGAAACUGCCUUGUGUUCGACCGGCCACGUUCGAAACGGGAUCGUGUUCAUCGGGAGGAGUCUGGCGUACUGCAAAACGGAGGAAACGGACCUCCUAUGGUCGAAACGGGGGUCAUGUUGAUCGGGAGGGGUGUGGCGUACCGCAAAACGGACAAAACGGACAUCCUACGGGCGAAACGGGGGUCAUGUUGAUCCGGGGGGUGUGGCAUACUGCAAAACAGACGAAACAGACUUGUGUUGGAGCGCUAUGGUCGAAAAGGGGGUCAUGUUCAUCGGGAGGGGUGUGGCAUACCACAAAACGGGACUCCACGGGAUACUGUUCAUCUCCACCGUCGACCUCCUCCAGCCUCCACGGGCUACUGUUCAUCCACCGUCGACCUCCUCCAGCCUCCACCUGCGACUGUUCAUCCACGGGCUCCUGUUCAUUCAUCCUCCGUCGUGCACUACUCGACCGGCUACUGUUCAACCACCCCUCUCCACUGGCUCAUGUUCAACCACCCUCCACGGGCUACUGUUCAUCCACCCCUCCACCAUCUACUGUUCAUCCAGACCUCCACGGGGUCAUCCUGUUCAUCCAACCCUCCACACCACAGAGUCCUGUUCAUCCAGAGGCAACGCCACCGCUCACUGUUCAUCCAACCCCCCCCCUCCCAACACUCACUGUUCAUCCAGUGAGGCAGCAUCCAUCGGCUUCAGUUAGCAGCAGUAGCGAAGGAAUCGCUUGAUCGGGUUCAGUUAACAGCCAUCGAUCGAUCGCUCAGGUUCAGUAACGCGUAGCCUGUAGUGCAAUCGCUCGGGUUCAGUUAGAGCCCAACGCCUCGCUUGGGUUCAGUUAGAGCCAACGCCUCGCACACAUGCGCGUACGUGUACGAGAGAAACGCGCAUUGCUCGGCCCCCGACCUCCCACCGUAACCGGGAACUCCCCGAAAUUUUCCUCCCCCUCGCUUCUACCACGUUUUUUCGUCAUGGACGGCCCAAAGAAUGUCAUGCAGCUGCGUCUCCGGCCCGCCCAGGACGAAAAGCCCAUUUUCUGUCAUGAUUUUUUGUCAUAGAAGUAGGAGCCCACCACAUCUAUGAUGAUAGCGGGUUUUGUCACAAUUAUCGUCAUAGAAGUGUCAUAUGUAUGACAGAAAAAAAUUCGUUUGACCCAAAAUGUCACAGAUGUGUCUUUUUUUUGUAGUGUGAAAGACCUGCUGCAGGAGCAGAUGCUGAUGUUUUGAACAUCUCGCAAGCUCGGUCUGAUGACUAAACGAUAGUUCAGUGUGUCAUGCUUUACAUCUUAGAAUCAGGACUUCAAAGACGUUUUGAACGUCAUGGAGCAUAUAAGAUGUUCCAAGAGUUGAAGUUAAUAUUUCAAGCAAAUGCCCGAGUUGAGAGAUAUGAAAUCUCCAACAGGUUCUAUAGCUGCAAGAUGGAGGAGAAUAGUUCUGUCAGUGAACACAUACUCAGAAUGUCUGGAUAUCAUAAUCACUUGACUCAUUUGGGAGUUAAUCUUCCUGAUGAUAGUGUUAUUGACAGAGUUCUCCAAUCACUGCUGCUACCUCUUGAGCUUGCGUUGGUUUUCCCUUGAAGAGGAAAGGGUGAUGCAGCAAAGUAGCAUAAGUAUUUCCCUCAUUUUGAGAACGAAGGUAUCAAUCCAGUAGGAGAAAACGCACAAGUCACUGAAUACCUGCACAAACAAUCAACAACUUGCACCCAAUGCGAUAAAGGGGUUGUCAAUCCCUUCACGGUCACUUGCAAAAGUGAGAUCGGAUAGAGAUAGAUAAACGGUAAAGUAAAUAUUUUUGGUAUUUUUGGUUUAUAGAUUGGAAAGUAAAGAUUGCAAAAUAGUAAAUCGGAAACUAAUAAUAUGUAAAAGAGAUUCAAUAUAAUGGAAAAGAGACCCUGGGGCCAUAGGUUUCACUAGUGGCUUCUCUCAACAUAGCAAAUAUUACGGUGGGUGAACAAAUUACUGCCGAGCAAUUGAUAGAAAAGCGCAUAGUUAUGAUGAUAUCUAAGGCAAUGAUCAUGAACAUAGGUGAGGGAGUCCUGGAUUAGGGGGUGUCUGGAUGACCGGACUAUAACCUUUGGCCGGACUCCUGGACUAUGAAGAUACAAGAUUGAAGACUUCGUCCCGUGUCCGGAUGGGACUUUCCUUAUGUUGCUUGACCAUGUUGCUUGACCAUAGGUCUACCAGAGUAAGAUCCGCACCAGAGUGGUACGGUAAUCCUAUUCUGGAAGUCAUGUUGCUUGACCAUGAUGAACCUACGAACUAUGAGGAAGCGAUGAUGAGCCCGGAUUCCGCAAAAUGGCUAGAAGCCAUGAAAUCUGAGAUGGGAUUCAUGUACGAAAACAAAGUAUGGACUUUGGUUGACUUGCCCGAUGAUCGGCAAGCCAUUGAGAAUAAAUGGAUCUUUAAGAAGAAGACUGACGCUUAUGGUAAUAUAACUGUCUAUAAAGCUCGACUUGUUGCAAAAGGUUUUCGACAAGUUCAAGGGGUUGACUACGAUGAGACUUUCUCACCCGUAGUGAUGCUUAAGUCCGUCCGAAUCAUGUUAGCUAUUGCUGCAUUUCAUGAUUAUGAAAUUUGGCAAAUGGAUGUCAAGACUGCAUUCUUGAAUGGAUUUCUAGAAGAAGAGUUGUAUAUGAUGCAGCCGGAAGGUUUUGUUGAUCCAAAAGGUGCUGACAAAGUGUGCAAGCUCCAGUGUUCCAUUUAUGGACCGGUGCAAGCAUCUCAGAGUUGGAAUAAACGCUUUGAUAGUAUGAUCAAAGCAUAUGGUUUUAUACAGACUUUUGGAGAAGCCUGUAUUUACAAGAAAGUGAGUGGGAGCUCUGUAGCAUUUCUAAUUUUAUAUGUAGAUGACAUAUUAUUAAUUGGAAAUGAUAUAGAAUUUCUGGAUAGCAUAAAAGGAUACUUGAAUAAAAGUUUUUCAAUGAAAGACCUCGGUGAAGCUGCUUACAUAUUGGGCAUCAAGAUCUAUAGAGAUAGAUCAAGACGCUUAAUAGGACUUUCACAAAGCACAUACCUCGACAAAAUUUUGAAAAGGUUCAAAAUGGAUCAGGCAAAGAAAGGAUUCUUGCAUGUGCUACAAGGUGUGAAGUUGAGUCAAACUCAAUGCCCGACCACAGCAGAAGAUAGAGAGAAAAUGAAAAAUGUUCCCUAUGCUUCAGCCAUAGGCUCUAUCAUGUAUGCAAUGCUGUGUACCAGACCUGACGUAUGCUUAGCAAUAAGCUUGGCAGGAAGGUACCAAAGUAAUCCAGGAGUGGAUCACUGGACAGUGGUCAAGAACAUCCUGAAAUACCUGAAAAGGACUAAGGAUAUGUUUCUCGUAUAUGGAGGUGACAAAGAGCUAGUCGUAAAUGGUUACGUCGAUGCAAGCUUUGACACUGAUCUGGACGAUUCUAAAUCGCAAACCGGAUACGUGUUUUUAUUAAACGGUGGAGCUGUAAGUUGGUGCAGUUCUAAACAAAGCGUCGUAGCGGGAUCUACAUGUGAAGCGGAGUACAUAGCUGCUUCGGAAACAGCAAACGAAGGAGUCUGGAUGAAGGAGUUCAUUUCUGAUCUAGGUGUCAUACCUAGUGCAUCGGGACCAGUGAAGAUCUUCUGUGACAAUACUGGUGCAAUUGCCUUGGCAAAGGAAUCCAGAUUUCACAAGAGGACCAAGCACAUCAAGAGACGCUUCAAUUCCAUUCGGGACCAAGUCUAAGUGGGAGACAUAGAGAUUUGCAAGAUACAUACGGAUCUGAAUGUUGCAGACCCAUGACUAAGCCUCUCUCACGAGCAAAACAUGAUCAGCACCAAGACUCCAUGGGUGUUAGAAUCAUUACUAUGUAAUCUAGAUUGUUGACUCUAGUGCAAGUGGGAGACUGAAGGAAAUAUGCCCUAGAGGCAAUAAUAAAGUUAUUAUUCAUUUCCUCAUAUCAUGAUAAGUGUUUAUUAUUCAUGCUAGAAUUGUAUUAACCGGAAACAUGAUACAUGUGUGAAUACAUAGACAAACAUAAAGUCACUAGUAUGCCUCUACUUGACUAGCUCAUUAAUCAAAGAUGGUUAUGUUUCUAACCAUAGACAUGUGUUGUCAUUUGAUUAAUGGGAUCACAUCAUUAGGAGAAUGAUGUGAUUGACAUGACCAUUCCGUUAGCCUAGCACUUGAUCGUUUAGUAUGUUGCUAUUGCUUUCUUCAUGACUUAUACAAAGUUCCUGCAACUAUGAGAUUGUGCAACUCACGUUUACCGGAAGAACACUUUGUGUGCUACCAAACGUCACAACGUAACUGGGUGAUUAUAAAGGUGCUCUACAGGUGUUUCCGAAGGUGCAUGUUGGGUUGGCAUAAUUCGAGAUUACGUUUUGUCACUCCGAUUGUCGGAGAGGUAUCUCUGGGCCCUCUCGGUAAUACUCAUCACCUAAAGCCUUGCAAGCAUUGUAACUAAUAAGUUAGUUAUAAGAUGAUGUGUUACAGAACGAGUAAAGAGACUUGCCGGUAACCAGAUUGAACUAGGUAUUGGAUACCGACGAUAAAAUCUCGGGCAAGUAACAUACCGAUGACAAAGGGAACAACGUAUGAUUGUUGUGCGGUUUGACCGAUAAAGAUCUUCGUAGAAUAUGUAGGAACCAAUAUGGGCAUCCAGGUUCCGCUAUUGGUUAUUGACCGAGAACAGUUCUAGGUCAUGUCUACAUAGUUCUCGAACCCGUAGGGUCCGCAUGCUUAACGUUACGAUGACAGUUUUAUUAUGAGUUUACAAGUUUUGAUGUACCGAAGUUUGUUUGGAAUCCCGGAUAUGAUCACGGACAUGACGAGGUGUCUCGAAAUGGUCGAGACAUAAAGAUUGAUAUAUUGGACGACUAUAUUCGGACACCGAAAGUGUUCCGGGUGAUUUCGGAGAAAACCGGAGUGUCGGAGGGUUACCGGAACCCCCCCCCCCCGGAGAGUUAAUGGGCCACAUGGGCCUUGGUGGGAAGAGAGAGGGGCGGCCAGGAAGGGCCGUGCGCCCCCUCUCCCUCUGGUCCGAAUUGGACUAGGAGGGGGGCGGCGCCCCCCUCUUUGCUUCCCCUCCUCUCCCCCUUCCUUCCCCUCCUAGUAGGAGUAGGAAAGGAGGAGUCCUACUCCUACUAGGAGGAGGACUCCUCGUCCUGGCCCGCCCAACAAGGGCCGGCCGGCCUCCCCCCUCCCUCCUUUAUAUACGGGGGCAGGGGGCACCCCAUAGACACACAAGUUGAUCUACGGAUCAUUCCUUAGCCGUGUGCGGUGCCCCCCUCCACCAUAUUCCACCUCGGUCAUAUCGUCACGGAGUUUAGACGAAGCCCUGCGCCGGUAGAACAUCAUCAUCGUCACCACACCGUCGUGCUGACGGAACUCUUCCCCGAAGCUUUGCUGGAUCGGAGCCCAGGGAUCGUCAUCGAGCUGAACGUGUGCUGAACUCGGAGGUGCCGUACGUUCGGUGCUUGGAUCGGUCGGAUCGUGAAGACGUACGACUACAUCAACCGCGUUGUCAUAACGCUUCCGCUUACGGUCUACGAGGGUACAUGGCCAAACACUCUCCCCUCUCAUUGCUAUGCCAUCACCAUUAUCUUGCGUGUGCGUAGGAAAUUUUUUGAAAUUACUACAUUCUCCAACAAUGGCAUCCGAGCCUGGUUUUAUGCGUAGAUGUCAUAUGCACGAGUAGAACACAAGUGAGUUGUGGGCGAUAUAAGUCAUACUGCUUACCAGCAUGUCAUACUUUGGUUCGGCGGUAUUGUGAGAUGAAGCGGCCCGGACCGACAUUACGCGUACGCUUACGCGAGACUGGUUUCACCGCUACGAGCACUCGUUGCUUAAAGGUGACCGGCGGGUGUCUGUCUCUCUCACUUUAGCUGAAUCGAGUGUGGCUACGCCCGGUCCUUGCGAAGGUUAAAACAGCACCAACUUGACAAACUAUCGUUGUGGUUUUUGAUGCGUAGGUAAGAACGGUUCUUGCUAAGCCCGUAGCAGCCACGUAAAACUUGCAACAACAAAGUAGAGGACGUCUAACUUGUUUUUGCAGGGCAUGUUGUGAUGUGAUAUGGUCAAGACGUGAUGAUAUAUUUUAUUGUAUGAGAUGAUCAUGUUUUGUAACCGAAGUUAUCGGCAACUGGCAGGAGCCAUAUGGUUGUCGCUUUAUUGUAUGAAAUGCAAACGCCCUGUAAUUGCUUUACUUUAUCACUAAGCGGUAGCGAUAGUCGUAGAAGCAAUAGUUGGCGAGACGACAACGAUGCUAUGAUGAAGAUCAAGGUGUCGCGCCAGUGACGAUGGUGAUCAUGACGGUGCUUCGGAGAUGGAGAUCACAAAGCACAAGAUGAUGAUGGCCAUAUCAUAUCACUUAUAUUGAUUGCAUGUGAUGUUUAUCCUUUAUGCAUCUUAUCUUGCUUUGAUUGACAGUAGCAUUUUAAGAUGAUCUCUCACUAAAAUUAUCAAGAAGUGUUCUCCCUGAGUAUGCACCGUUGCCAAAGUUCGUCGUGCCCAGACACCACGUGAUGAUCGGGUGUGAUAAGCUCUACGUCCAUCUACAACGGGCGCAAGACAGUUUUGCACACGCGGAAUACUCAGGUUAAACUUGACGAGCCUAGCAUAUGCAGAUAUGGCCUCGGAACACGGAGACCGAAAGGUCGAGCGUGAAUCAUAUAGUAGAUAUGAUCAACAUAGUGAUGUUCACCAUUGAAAACUACUCCAUCUCACGUGAUGAUCGGUUAUGGUUUAGUUGAUUUGGAUCACGUGAUCACUUAGAUGACUAGAGAGAUGUCUGUCUAAGUGGGAGUUCUUAAAUAAUAUGAUUAAUUGAACCUAAAUUUAUCAUGAACUUAGUACCUGAUAGUAUUUUGCUUGUCUAUGUUUGUUUGUAGAUAGAUGGCUCGUGCUGUUGUUCCGUUGAAUUUUAAUGCGUUCAUUGAGAAAGCAAAGUUGAAAGAUGAUGGUAGAAAUUACACGGACUGGGUCCGUAACCUGAGGAUUAUCCUCAUUGCUGCACAGAAAAGUUACGUCCUGGAAGCACCGCUGGGUGCCAGGCCUGCUACUGAUGCAACUGACGAUGUUAAGAACGUCUGGCAGAGCAAAGCUGAUGAAUACUCUAUAGUUCAGUGUGCCAUGCUUUACGGCUUAGAACCGGGUCUUCAACGACGUUUUGAACGUCAUGGAGCAUAUGAGAUGUUCCAGGAGUUGAAGUUAAUAUUUCAAGCAAAUGCCCAGAUUGAGAGAUAUGAAGUCUCCAAUAAGUUCUACAGCUGCAAGAUGGAGGAGAAUAGUUCUGUUAGUGAGCAUAUACUCAAAAUGUCUGGGUAUGAUAAUCACUUGAUUCAACUGGGAGUUAAUCUUCUGGAUGAUAGCGUCAUUGACAGAAUUCUCCAAUCACUGCCACCAAGCUACAAGAGCCUUGUGAUGAACUAUAAUAUGCAAGGGAUGAACAAGACUAUUCCCGAGCUCUUUGCAAUGCUAAAAGCUGCGGAGGUAGAAAUCAAGAAGGAGCAUCAAGUGUUGAUGGUCAACAAGACCACUAGUUUCAAGAAAAAGGGCAAAGGGAAGAAGAAGGGGAACUUCAAGAAGAACAGCAAGCAAGUUGCUGCUCAAGAGAAGAAACCCAAGUCUGGACCUAAGCCUGAAACUGAGUGCUUCUACUGCAAGCAGACUGGUCACUAGAAGCGGAACUGCCCCAAGUAUUUGGCAGAUAAGAAGGAUGGCAAAGUGAACAAAGGUAUAUGUGAUAUACAUGUUAUUGAUGUGUACCUAACUAGAGCUCGUAGUAGCACCUGGGUAUUUGAUACUGGUUCUGUUGCUAAUAUUUGCAACUCGAAACAGGGACUACGGAAUAAGCGAGCACUGGCCAAGGAGGAGGUGACGAUGCGCGUGGGAAACGGUUCCAAAGUCGAUGUGAUCGCGGUCGGCAUGCUACCUCUACAUCUACCUUUGGGAUUAGUUUUAGACCUGAAUAAUUGUUAUUUGGUGCCAGCGUUGAGCAUGAACAUUAUAUCUGGAUCUUGUUUGAUGUGAGAGAGUUAUUCAUUUAAAUCAGAGAAUAAUGGUUGUUCUAUUUAUAUGAGUAAUAUCUUUUAUGGUCAUGCACCCUUGAAGAGUGGUCUAUUUUUAUUAAAUCUCGAUAGUAGUGAUACACAUAUUCAUAGUGUUGAAACCAAAAGAUGCAGAGUUAAUAAUGAUAGUGCAACUUAUUUGUGGCACUGCCAUUUGGGUCAUAUCGGUGUAAAGCGCAUGAAGAAACUCCAUACUGAUGGACUUUUGGAAUCACUUGAUUAUGAAUCACUUGGUACUUGCGAACCGUGCCUUAUGGGCAAGAUGACUAAAACGCCGUUCUCCGGAACUAUGGAGCGAGAAACUGAUUUGUUGGAAAUCAUACAUACUGAUGUUUGUGGCCCAAUGAAUGUUGAGGCUCGCGGCGGGUAUCGUUAUUUUCUCACCUUCACAGAUGAUUUGAGCAGAUAUGGGUAUAUCUACUUGAUGAAACACAAGUCCGAAACAUUUGAAAAGUUCACAGAAUUUCAGAGUGAAGUGGAAAAUCAUCGUAACAAGAAAAUAAAGUUUCUACGAUCUGAUCGUGGAUGAGAAUAUUUGAGUUAUGAGUUUGGCCUACACUUGAAACAAUGUGGAAUAGUUUCGCAACUCACGCCACCUGGAACACCACAACGAAAUGGUGUGUCCGAACGGCGUAAUCGUACUUUACUGGAUAUGGUGCGAUCUAUGAUGUCUCUUACUGAUUUACCGCUAUCAUUUUGGGGUUAUGCUUUAGAGACGGCCGCAUUCACGUUAAAUAGGGCACCAUCAAAAUCCGUUGAGACGACGCCUUAUGAACUGUGGUUUGGCAAGAAACCAAAGUUGUCGUUUCUUAAAGUUUGGGGCUGCGAUGAUUAUGUGAAGAAACUUCAACCAGAUAAGCUCGAACCUAAAUCGGAGAAAUGUGUCUUCAUAGGAUACCCAAAAGAGACUAUUGGGUACACCUUCUAUCACAGAUCUGAAGGCAAGACAUUCAUUUCUAAGAAUGGAUCCUUUCUAGAGAAGGAGUUUCUCUCGAAAGAAGUGAGUGGGAGGAAAGUAGAACUUGAUGAGAUAACUAUAUCUACUCCCUUAUUGGAAAGUAGUUCAUCACGAGAUCAAGUUUCUACUGAACCUCGUAGGUCUACCAGAGUAAGAUCCGCACCAGAGUGGUACGGUAAUCCUAUUCUGGAAGUCAUGUUGCUUGACCAUGAUGAACCUACGAACUAUGAGGAAGCGAUGAUGAGCCCGGAUUCCGCAAAAUGGCUAGAAGCCAUGAAAUCUGAGAUGGGAUCCAUGUAUGAAAACAAAGUAUGGACUUUGGUUGACUUGCCCGAUGAUCGGCAAGCCAUUGAGAAUAAAUGGAUCUUUAAGAAGAAGACUGACGUUGAUGGUAAUAUAACUUUCUAUAAAGCUCGACUUGUUGCAAAAGGUUUUCGACAAGUUCAAGGGGUUGACUACGAUGAGACUUUCUCACCCGUAGUGAUGCUUAAGUCCGUCCGAAUCAUGUUAGCUAUUGCUGCAUUUCAUGAUUAUGAAAUUUGGCAAAUGGAUGUCAAGACUGCAUUCUUGAAUGGAUUUCUAGAAGAAGAGUUGUAUAUGAUGCAGCCGGAAGGUUUUGUUGAUCCAAAAGGUGCUGACAAAGUGUGCAAGCUCCAGCGUUCCAUUUAUGGACUCGUGCAAGCAUCUCGGAGUUGGAAUAAACGCUUUGAUAGUAUGAUCAAAGCAUAUGGUUUUAUACAGACUUUUGGAGAAGCCUGUAUUUACAAGAAAGUGAGUGGGAGCUCUGUAGCAUUUCUAAUUUUAUAUGUAGAUGACAUAUUAUUAAUUGGAAAUGAUAUAGAAUUUCUGGAUAGCAUAAAAGGAUACUUGAAUAAAAGUUUUUCAAUGAAAGACCUCGGUGAAGCUGCUUACAUAUUGGGCAUCAAGAUCUAUAGAGAUAGAUCAAGACGCUUAAUAGGACUUUCACAAAGCACAUACCUUGACAAAAUUUUGAAAAGGUUCAAAAUGGAUCAGGCAAAGAAAGGAUUCUUGCCUGUGCUACAAGGUGUGAAGUUGAGUCGAACUCAAUGCCCGACCACAGCAGAAGAUAGAGAGAAAAUGAAAAAUGUUCCCUAUGCUUCAGCCAUAGGCUCUAUCAUGUAUGCAAUGCUGUGUACCAGACCUGGCGUAUGCUUAGCAAUAAGCUUGGCAGGAAGGUACCAAAGUAAUCCAGGAGUGGAUCACUGGACAGCGGUCAAGAACAUCCUGAAAUACCUGAAAAGGACUAAGGAUAUGUUUCUCGUAUAUGGAGGUGACAAAGAGCUAGUCGUAAACGGUUACGUCGAUGCAAGCUUUGACACUGAUCCGGACGAUUCUAAAUCGCAAACCGGAUACGUGUUUUUAUUAAACGGUGGAGUUGUAAGUUGGCGCAGUUCUAAACAAAGCGUCGUAGCGGGAUCUACAUGUGAAGCGGAGUACAUAGCUGCUUUGGAAGCAGCAAAUGAAGGAGUCUGGAUGAAGGAGUUCAUUUUUGAUCUAGGUGUCAUACCUAGUGCAUCGGGACCAAUGAGGAUCUUCUGUGACAAUACUGGUGCAAUUGCCUUGGCAAAGGAAUCCAGAUUUCACAAGAGGACCAAGCACAUCAAGAGAUGCUUCAAUUCCAUUCGGGACCAAGUCCAAGUGGGAGACAUAGAGAUUUGCAAGAUACAUACGGAUCUGAAUGUUGCAGACCCGUUGACUAAGCCUCUCUCACGAGCAAAACAUGAUUAGCACCAAGACUCCAUGGGUGUUAGAAUCAUUACUAUGUAAUCUAGAUUUAUUGACUCUAGUGCAAGUGGGAGACUGAAGGAAAUAUGCCCUAGAGGCAAUAAUAAAGUUAUUAUUUAUUUCCUCAUAUCAUGAUAAGUGUUUAUUAUUCAUGCUAGAAUUGUAUUAACCGGAAACAUGAUACAUGUGUGAAUACAUAGACAAACAUAAAGUCACUAGUAUGCCUCUACUUGACUAGAUCAUUAAUCAAAGAUGGUUAUGUUUCCUAACCAUAGACAUGUGUUGUCAUUUGAUUAAUGGGAUCACAUCAUUAGGAGAAUGAUGUGAUUGACAUGACCCAUUCCGUUAGCCUAGCACUUGAUCGUUUAGUAUGUUGCUAUUGCUUUCUUCAUGACUUAUACAAAGUUCCUGCAACUAUGAGAUUGUGCAACUCACGUUUACCGGAAGAACACUUUGUGUGCUACCAAACGUCACAACGUAACUGGGUGAUUAUAAAUGUGCUAUACAGGUGUUUCCGAAGGUGCAUGUUGGGUUGGCAUAAUUCGAGAUUAGGUUUUGUCACUCCGAUUGUCGGAGAGGUAUCUCUGGGCCCUCUCGGUAAUACUCAUCACCUAAAGCCUUGCAAGCAUUGUAACUAAUAAGUUAGUUAUAAGAUGAUGUGUUACAGAACGAGUAAAGAGACUUGCCGGUAACGAGAUUGAACUAGGUAUUGGAUACCGACGAUCAAAUCUUGGGCAAGUAACAUACCGAUGACAAAGGGAACAACGUAUGAUUGUUGUGCGGUUUGACCGAUAAAGAUCUUCGUAGAAUAUGUAGGAACCAAUAUGGGCAUCCAGGUUCCGCUAUUGGUUAUUGACCGAGAACAGUUCUAGGUCAUGUCUACAUAGUGCUCGAACCCGUAGGGUCCGCACGCUUAACGUUACGAUGACAGUUUUAUUAUGAGUUUACAAGUUUUGAUGUACCGAAGUUUGUUCGGAAUCCCGGAUAUGAUCACGGACAUGACGAGGUGUCUCGAAAUGGUCGAGACAUAAAGAUUGAUAUAUUGGACGACUAUAUUUGGACACCGAAAGUGUUCUGGGUGAUUUCGGAGAAAACCGGAGUGCCGGAGGGUUACCGGAACCCCCCCGGAGAGUUAAUGGGCCACAUGGGCCUUGGUGGGAAGAGAGAGGGGCGGCCAGGAAGGGCCGUGCGUCCCCUCUCCCUCUGGUCCGAAUUGGACUAGGAGGGGGGCGGCGCCCCCCUCUUUGCUUCCCCUCCUCUCCCCCUUCCUUCCCCUCCUAGUAGGAGUAGGAAAGGAGGAGUCCUACUCCUACUAGGAGGAGGACUCCUCCUCCUGGCGCGCCCAACAAGGGCCGGCCGGCCUCCCCCCUCCCUCCUUUAUAUACGGGGGCAGGGGCACCCCAUAGACACACAAGUUGAUCUACGGAUCAUUCCUUAGCCGUGUGCAGUGCCCCCCUCCAACAUAUUCCACCUCGGUCAUAUCGUCACGGAGUUUAGACGAAGCCCUGCGCCGGUAGAACAUCAUCAUCGUCACCACGCCGUCGUGCUGACGGAACUCUUCCCCGAAGCUUUGCUGGAUCGGAGCCCAGGGAUCGUCAUCGAGCUGAACGUGUGCUGAACUCGGAGGUGUCGUACGUUCGGUGCUUGGAUCGGUCGGAUCGUGAAGACGUACGACUACAUCAACCGCGUUGUCAUAAUGCUUCCGCUUACGGUCUACGAGGGUACAUGGACAAACACUCUCCCCUCUCGUUGCUAUGCCAUCACCAUUAUCUUGCGUGUGCGUAGGAAAUUUUUUGAAAUUACUACGUUCUCCAAUAGUGGCAUCCGAGCCUGGUUUUAUGCGUAGAUGUCAUAUGCACGAGUAGAACACAAGUGAGUUGUCGGCGAUAUAAGUCAUACUGCUUACCAGCAUGUCAUACUUUGGUUCGGCGGUAUUGUGAGAUGAAGCGGCCCGGACCGACAUUACGCGUACGCGAGACUAGUUUCACCGCUACGAGCACUCGUUGCUUAAAGGUGACCGGCGGGUGUCUGUCUCUCUCACUUUAGCUGAAUCGAGUGUGGCUACGCCCGGUCCUUACGAAGGUUAAAACAGCACCAACUUGACAAACUAUCGUUGUGGUUUUUGAUGCGUAGGUAAGAACGGUUCUUGCUAAUCCCGUAGCAGCCACGUAAAACUUGCAACAACAAAGUAGAGGACGUCUAACUUGUUUUUGCAGGGCAUGUUGUGAUGUGAUAUGGUCAAGACGUGAUGAUAUAUUUUAUUUUAUGAGAUGAUCAUGUUUUGUAACCGAAGUUAUCGGUAACUGGCAGGAGCCAUAUGGUUGUCGCUUUAUUGUAUGAAAUGCAAACGCCCUGUAAUUGCUUUACUUUAUCACUAAGCGGUAGCGAUAGUCGUAGAAGCAAUAGUUGGCGAGACGACAACAAUGCUACAAUGAAGAUCAAGGUGUCGCGCCGGUGACGAUGGUGAUCAUGACGGUGCUUCGGAGAUGGAUAUCACAAAGCACAAGAUGAUGAUGGCCAUAUCAUAUCACUUAUAUUGAUUGCAUGUGAUGUUUAUCCUUUAUGCAUCUUAUCUUGCUUUGAUUGACGGUGGCAUUUUAAGAUGAUCUCUCACUAAAAUUAUCAAGAAGUGUUCUCCCUGAGUAUGCACCGUUACCAAAGUUCGUCGUGCCCAGACACCACGUGAUGAUCGGGUGUGAUAAGCUCUACGUCCAUCUACAACGGGUGCAAGACAGUUUUGCACAUGCGGAAUACUCAGGUUAAACUUGACGAGCCUAGCAUAUGCAGAUAUGGCCUCGGAACACGGAGACCGAAAGGUCGAGCGUGAAUCAUAUAGUAGAUAUGAUCAACAUAGUGAUGUUCACCAUUGAAAACUACUCCAUCUCACGUGAUGAUCGGUUAUGGUUUAGUUGAUUUGGAUCACGUGAUCACUUAGCUGACUAGAGAGAUGUCUGUCUAAGUGGGAGUUCUUAAAUAAUAUGAUUAAUUGAACCUAAAUUUAUCAUGAACUUAGUACCUGAUAGUAUUUUGCUUAUCUAUGUUUGUUUGUAGAUAGAUGGCUCGUGCUGUUGUUCCGUUGAAUUUUAAUGCGUUCCUUGAGAAAGCAAAGUUGAAAGAUGAUGGUAGCAAUUACACGGACUGGGUCCGUAACCUGAGGAUUAUCCUCAUUGCUGCACAGAAAAGUUACGUCCUGGAAGCACCGCUGGGUGCUAGGCCUGCUACUGAUGCAACUGACGACGUUAAGAACGUCUGGCAGAGCAAAGCUGAUGACUACUCUAUAGUUCAGUGUGCCAUGCUUUACGGCUUAGAACCGGGUCUUCAACGAUGUUUUGAACGUCAUGGAGCAUAUGAGAUGUUCCAGGAGUUGAAGUUAAUAUUUCAAGCAAAUGCCCAGAUUGAGAGAUAUGAAGUCUCCAAUAAGUUCUACAGCUGCAAGAUGGAGGAGAAUAGUUCUGUUAGUGAGCAUAUACUCAAAAUGUCUGGGUAUGAUAAUCACUUGAUUCAACUGGGAGUUAAUCUUCCGGAUGAUAGCGUCAUUGACAGAAUUCUCCAAUCACUGCCACCAAGCUACGAGAGCCUUGUGAUGAACUAUAAUAUGCAAGGGAUGAACAAGACUAUUCCCGAGCUCUUCGCAAUGCUAAAAGCUGCGGAGGUAGAAAUCAAGAAGGAGCAUCAAGUGUUGAUGGUCAACAAGACCACUAGUUUCAAGAAAAAGGGCAAAGGGAAGAAGAAGGGGAACUUCAAGAAGAACAGCAAGCAAGUUGCUGCUCAAGAGAAGAAACCCAAGUCUGGACCUAAGCCUGAAACUGAGUGCUUCUACUGCAAGCAGACUGGUCACUGGAAGCGGAACUGCCCCAAGUAUUUGGCAGAUAAGAAGGAUGGCAAAGUGAACAAAGGUAUAUGUGAUAUACAUGUUAUUGAUGUGUACCUAACUAGAGCUCAUAGUAGCACCUGGGUAUUUGAUACUGGUUCUGUUGCUAAUAUUUGCAAGUCGAAACAGGGACUACGGAAUAAGCGAGCACUUGCCAAGGACGAGGUGACAAUGCGCGUGGGAAACGGUUCCAAAGUCGAUGUGAUCGCGGUCGGCAUGCUACCUCUACAUCUACCUUCGGGAUUAGUUUUAGACCUGAAUAAUUGUUAUUUGGUGUCAGCGUUGAGCAUGAACAUUAUAUCUGGAUCUUGUUUGAUGCGAGACGGUUAUUCAUUUAAAUGAGAGAAUAAUGGUUGUUCUAUUUAUAUGAGUAAUAACUUUUAUGGUCAUGCACCCUUGAAGAGUGGUCUAUUUUUAUUAAAUCUCGAUAGUAGUGAUACACAUAUUCAUAGUGUUGAAACCAAAAGAUGCAGAGUUAAUAAUGAUAGUGCAACUUAUUUGUGGCACUGCCGUUUGGGUCAUAUCAGUGUAAAGCGCAUGAAGAAACUCCAUACUGGUGGACUUUUGGAAUCACUUGAUUAUGAAUCACUUGGUACUUGCGAACCGUGCCUUAUGGGCAAGAUGACUAAAACGCCGUUCUCCGGAACUAUGGAGCGAGCAACUGAUUUGUUGGAAAUCAUACAUACUGAUGUUUGUGGCCCAAUGAAUGUUGAGGCUCGCGGCGGGUAUCAUUAUUUUCUCACCUUCACAGAUGAUUUGAGCAGAUAUGGGUAUAUCUACUUGAUGAAACACAAGUCUGAAACAUUUGAAAAGUUCAAAGAAUUUCAGAGUGAAGUGGAAAAUCAUCGUAACAAGAAAAUAAAGUUUCUACGAUCUGAUCGUGGAUGAGAAUAUUUGAGUUAUGAGUUUGGCCUACACUUGAAACAAUGUGGAAUAGUUUCGCAACUCACGCCACCUGGAACACCACAACGAAAUGGUGUGUCCGAACGUCAUAAUCGUACUUUACUGGAUAUGGUGCGAUCUAUGAUGUCUCUUACUGAUUUACCGCUAUCAUUUUGGGGUUUUGCUUUAGAGACGGCCGCAUUCACGUUAAAUAGGGCACCAUCAAAAUCCGUUGAGACGACGCCUUAUGAACUGUGGUUUGGCAAGAAACCAAAGUUGUCGUUUCUUCAAGUUUGGGGCUGCGAUGCUUAUGUGAAGAAACUUCAACCAGAUAAGCUCAAACCUAAAUCGGAGAAAUGUGUCUUCAUAGGAUACCCAAAAGAGACUAUUGGGUACACCUUCUAUCACAGAUCCGAAGGCAAGACAUUCAUUGCUAAGAAUGGAUCCUUUCUAGAGAAGGAGUUUCUCUCGAAAGAAGUGAGUGGGAGGAAAGUAGAACUUGAUGAGAUAACUGUAUCUACUCCCUUAUUGGAAAGUAGUUCAUCACGAGAACCGGUUCCUGUGACAACUACACCAAUUAGUGAGGAAGCUAAUGAUAAUGAUCAUGAAACUUGAGAUCAAGUUUCUACUGAACCUCGUAGGUCUACCAGAGUAAGAUCCGCACCACAGUGGUACGGUAAUCCUAUUAUGGAAGUCAUGUUACUUGACCAUGAUGAACCUACGAACUAUGAGGAAGCGAUGAUCAGCCCGGAUUCCGCAAAAUGGCUAGAAGCCAUGAAAUCUGAGAUGGGAUCCAUGUAUGAAAACAAAGUAUGGACUUUGGUUGACUUGCCCGAUGAUCGGCAAGCCAUUGAGAAUAAAUGGAUCUUUAAGAAGAAGACUGAAGUUGAUGGUAAUAUAACUGUCUAUAAAGCUCGACUUGUUGCAAAAGGUUUUUGACAAGUUCAAGGGGUUGACUACGAUGAGACUUUCUCACCCGUAGUGAUGCUUAAGUCCGUCCGAAUCAUGUUAGCUAUUGCUGCAUUUCAUGAUUAUAAAAUUUCGCAAAUGGAUGUCAAGACUGCAUUCUUGAAUGGAUUUCUAGAAGAAGAGUUGUAUAUGAUGCAGCCGGAAGGUUUUGUUGAUCCAAAAGGUGCUGACAAAGUGUGCAAGCUCCGGUGUUCCAUUUAUGGACCGGUGCAAGCAUCUCGGAGUUGGAAUAAACGCUUUGAUAGUAUGAUCAAAGCAUAUGGUUUUAUACAGACUUUUGGAGAAGCCUGUAUUUACAAGAAAGUGAGUGGGAGCUCUGUAGCAUUUCUAAUUUUAUAUGUAGAUGACAUAUUAUUAAUUGGAAAUGAUAUAGAAUUUCUGGAUAGCAUAAAAGGAUACUUGAAUAAAAGUUUUUCAAUGAAAGACCUCGGUGAAGCUGCUUACAUAUUGGGCAUCAAGAUCUAUAGAGAUAGAUCAAGACGCUUAAUAGGACUUUCACAAAGCACAUACCUUGACAAAAUUUUGAAAAAGUUCAAAAUGGAUCAGGCAAAGAAAGGAUUCUUGCCUGUGCUACAAGGUGUGAAGUUGAGUCAAACUCAAUGCCCGACCACAGCAGAAGCUAGAGAGAAAAUGAAAAAUGUUCCCUAUGCUUCAGCCAUAGGCUCUAUCAUGUAUGCAAUGCUGUGUACCAGAACUGACGUAUGCUUAGCAAUAAGCUUGGCAGGAAGGUACCAAAGUAAUCCAGGAGUGGAUCACUGGACAGCGGUCAAGAACAUCCUGAAAUACCUGAAAAGGACUAAGGAUAUGUUUCUCGUAUAUGGAGGUGACAAAGAGCUAGUCGUAAACGGUUACGUCGAUGCAAGCUUUGACACUGAUCCAGACGAUUCUAUAUCGCAAACCGGAUACGUGUUUUUAUUAAACGGUGGAGCUGUAAGUUGGUGCAGUUCUAAACAGAGCGUCGUAGCGGGAUCUACAUGUGAAGCAGAGUACAUAGCUGUUUCGGAAGCAGGAAAUGAAGGAGUCUGGAUGAAGGAGUUCAUUUCUGAUCUAGGUGUCAUACCUAGUGCAUCGGGACCAAUGAAGAUCUUCUGUGAUAAUACUGGUGCAAUUGCCUUGGCAAAGGAAUCCAGAUUUCACAAGAGGACCAAGCACAUCAAGAGACGCUUCAAUUCCAUUCGGGACCAAGUCCAAGUGGGAGACAUAGAGAUUUGCAAGAUACAUACGGAUCUGAAUGUUGCAGACCCGUUGACUAAGCCUCUCUCAUGAGCAAAACAUGAUCAGCACCAAGACUCCAUGGGUGUUAGAAUCAUUACUAUGUAAUCUAGAUUAUUGACUCUAGUGCAAGUGGGAGACUGAAGGAAAUAUGCCCUAGAGGCAAUAAGAAAGUUAUUAUUUAUUUCCUCAUAUCAUGAUAAGUGUUUAUUAUUCAUGCUAGAAUUGUAUUAACCGGAAACAUGAUACAUGUGUGAAUACAUAGACAAACAUAAAGUCACUAGUAUGCCUCUACUUGACUAGCUCAUUAAUCAAAGAUGGUUAUGUUUCCUAACCAUAGACAUGUGUUGUCAUUUGAUUAAUGGGAUCACAUCAUUAGGAGAAUGAUGUGAUUGACAUGACCCAUUCCGUUAGCCUAGCACUUGAUCGUUUAGUAUGUUGCUAUUGCUUUCUUCAUGACUUAUACAAAGUUCCUGCAACUAUGAGAUUGUGCAACUCACGUUUACCGGAAGAACACUUUGUGUGCUACCAAACUUCACAAUGUAACUGGGUGAUUAUAAAGGUGCUCUACAGGUGUUUCCGAAGGUGCAUGUUGGGUUGGCAUAAUUCGAGAUUAGGUUUUGUCACUCCGAUUGUCGGAGAGGUAUCUCUGGGCCCUCUCGGUAAUACUCAUCACCUAAAGCCUUGCAAGCAUUGUAACUAAUGAGUUAGUUAUAAGAUGAUGUGUUACAGAACGAGUAAAGAGACUUGCCGGUAACGAGAUUGAACUAGGUAUUGGAUACCGACGAUCAAAUCUCGGGCAAGUAACAUACCGAUGACAAAGGGAACAACGUAUGAUUGUUGUGCGGUUUGACCGAUAAAGAUCUUCGUAGAAUAUGUAGGAACCAAUAUGAGCAUCCAGGUUCCGCUAUUGGUUAUUGACCGAGAACAGUUCUAGGACAUGUCUACAUAGUUCUCAAACCCGUAGGGUCCGCACGCUUAACGUUACGAUGAGAGUUUUAUUAUGAGUUUACAAGUUUUGAUGUACCGAAGUUUGUUCAGAAUCCCGGAUAUGAUCACGGACAUGACGAGGAGUCUCGAAAUGGUCGAGACAUAAAGAUUGAUAUAUUGGACGACUAUAUUCGGACACCGGAAGUGUUCCGGGUGAUUUCGGAGAAAACCGGAGUGCCGGAGNNNNNNNNNNNNNNNNNNNNNNNNNNNNNNNNNNNNNNNNNNNNNNNNNNNNNNNNNNNNNNNNNNNNNNNNNNNNNNNNNNNNNNNNNNNNNNNNNNNNNNNNNNNNNNNNNNNNNNNNNNNNNNNNNNNNNNNNNNNCCCCCCGGAGAGUUAAUGGGCCACAUGGGCCUUGGUGGGAAGAGAGAGGGGCGGCCAGGAAGGGCCGCGCGCCCCCUCUCCCUCUGGUCCGAAUUGGACUAGGAGGGGGGCGGCGCCCCCCUCUUUCCUUCCCCUCCUCUCCCCCUUCCUUCCCCUCCUAGUAGGAGUAGGAAAGGAGGAGUCCUACUCCUACUAGGAGGAGGACUCCUCCUCCUGGCGCGCCCAACAAGGGCCGGCCGGCCUCCCCCCUCCCUCCUUUAUAUACGGGGGCAGGGGGCACCCCAUAGACACACAAGUUGAUCUACGGAUCGUUCCUUAGCCGUGUGCGGUGCCCCCCUCCACCAUAUUCCACCUUGGUCAUAUCGUCGCGGAGUUUAGGCGAAGCCCUGCGCCGGUAGAACAUCAUCAUCGUCACCAUGCUGUCGUGCUGAUGGAACUCUUCCCCGAAGCUUUGCUGGAUCGGAGCCCGGGGAUCGUCAUCGAGCUGAAUGUGUGCUGAACUCGGAGGUGCCGUACGUUCGGUGCUUGGAUCGGUCGAAUCGUGAAGACGUAUGACUACAUCAACCGCGUUGUCAUAAUGCUUCCGCUUACGGUCUACGAGGGUACGUGGACAAACACACUCCCCUCUCGUUGCUAUGCCAUCACCAUGAUCUUGCGUGUGCGUAGGAAAUUUUUUGAAAUUACUAUGUUCUCCAACAGUAGCCACUGUCGAUUAUUUAACCGACAUGCUCGACUUCGACUCCGAAGACAUCGACGGUAUUGACGCCGAUGCAGGAGACGACCAAGAACCAGCGCCAAUAGGGCCCUGGAAGGCCACCUCAUCAUACGACAUAUACAUGGUGGACACCCUAAAAGAAGGGAAUGGCGAUGGAACAACGGAGGAUGACCUCUCCAAGAAGCAGCCUAAGCGUCGGCGUCAGCGGCGCCACUCUAAAUCCCGCCAAAGCAAAAACGGCGAUUCUAGCACGGGGGAUAAUAACACCCCGGACAGCACCGAAGACAACCCCCUCCAGCAGGAUUCAGCAUAGGAGGAUGGAGAAGCCAGCCCUCAUGAGAGAGCGGCAGACAGAGAGGUAGAGGACGAUAAUUACAUGCCUCCCUCCGAAGGCGAGGCAAGCCUCAAUGACGACGAAUUUGUCAUGCCUGAGGAUCCCGUCCAACAAGAGUGUUUCAAAUGUAGGCUUAUGGCCACGACGAGCAGCCUCAAGAUAAAACAGCAGCAGCUUAGAGCUGACCAAGACUUGCUAGCCGACAGAUGGACUGAAGUCCUUGCGGCCGAAGAGUACGAACUCGAACGCCCCUCCAAGAGCUACCCAAAGCGCAGGCUGCUACCCCGAUUAGAGGGGAAGCACCUAAACCUACAUCAACAGCGCACGACGCGGCUGACCGGCCACCUCGUGGCCGCGACAAAGAGGCCUCUCGGCCAUCCACUCAAGCCGCACCCCGGCGUUGCUCAAAAAAUACCAAGGCAUGGGGAAAUGCGCCAGACCUACGAGACAUAUUGGAGGACAAGGCAAGGCAAACAAGAUCGAUCUACAGAUCGCGUGGGCGCCCCACGACACAUGACGAUAACCGUCACGCCGGAUAUGGCAAAUACGGCCAGGCCGAACACAGCAGACAAAGCUCAUUUGAGCUACGUCGUGAUAUAGCCCAGUACAGAGGCGCCGCACACCCACUAUGCUUCACAGAUGAAGUAAUGGAUCAUCAAAUCACCGAGGGUUUUAAACCUGUAAACAUCGAAUCAUACGAUGGCACAAUAGAUCAUGCGGUAUGGAUCGAGGAUUAUCUCCUUCAUAUCCACAUGGCCCACGGUGAUGAUCUACACGCUAUCAAAUACCUCCCACUCAAGCUUAAAGGACUAGCUCGGCAUUGGCUUAACAGCUUGCCAACAGAGUCAAUUGGUUGCUGCGAGGACCUGGAAUCCGCAUUCCUCGACAAUUUCCAGGGCACCUAUGUGCGACCACCAGACGCCGAUGACCUAAGCCACAUAAUUCAGCAGCCAGAGGAAUCGGCCAGACAAUUCUGGACACGGUUCCUAACCAAGAAAAAUCAAAUAGUCGACUGUCCGGACGCAGAGGCCCUCACAGCCUUCAAACAUAAUAUACAUGAUGAAUGGCUUGCCCGGCACCUAGGACAGGAAAAGCCGAAAUCCAUGGUAGCCCUCACAACACUCAUGACCCUCUCUUGCGCGGCAGAAGACAGCUGGCUAGCUCGUGGUAAUAACAUGACCAAGAGCCCUGGUAAUUCGGAUACCAAGGACAACAAUGGUAGGUCGCGUCGCAACAAGCACAAGCGCCGCAUUAUCGGCGACAAUGCUGAGGAUACGGCAGUUAAUGCCGGAUUCAGAGGCUCUAAACUCAGUCAGCGGAAAAAGCCAUUCAAAAGAAAUACUCCGGGCCCGUCCAGUUUGGACCGAAUACUCGAUCGCUCGUGCCAGAUACACGGCACCCCCGAAAUACCAGCCAAUCACACCAACAGGGAUUGUUGGGUGUUCAAGCAGGCAGGCAAGUUAAGUGCCGAAAACAGAGACAAGGGGCUGCACAGCGAUGACGAGGAGGAGCCCCGGCCGCUGAACAAUAUGGGAUAGAAGGGCUUUUCCCCACAAGUGCGGACGGUGAACAUGAUAUACGCAACCUACAUCCCCAAAAGAGAGCGGAAGUGCGCACUCAGGGACGUAUAUGCGUUGCAGCCAGUCGCCCCAAAGUUCAACCCGUGGUCCUCCUGCCCGAUCACUUUUGAUCGAAGGGACCACCCCACUAGCAUCCGCCACGGCAGAUUUGCCGCAUUGGUUCUAGACCCAAUCAUUGACGGAUUUCACCUCACUAGAGUCCUUGUGGACGGCGGCAGCAGCCUGAACAUGCUUUAUCAGGAUACAGUGUGAAAAAUGGGCAUAGAUCCCUCAAGGAUUAAACCCACAAAGACAACCUUUAAAGGCAUCAUACCAGGUGUAGAGGCCAACUGUACAGGCUCAGUUACACUCGAAGUGGUCUUCGGAUCCCUGGAUAAUUUCUGAAGCGAGGAGUUAAUCUUUGACAUAGUACCGUUCCACAGUGGCUAUCACGCCCUGCUCGGACGAACCGCAUUUGCAAAGUUCAAUGUGGUGCCGCACUACGCAUACCUCAAGCUCAAGAUGUCAGUCCCUCCAGGAGUCAUUACGGUCAAUGGAAACACUGAACGCUCUCUCCGAACGGAGGAGCAUACGGCGGCCCUCGCGGCGGAAGUACAAAGUAGGCUCUCAAGGCAAUUCUCCAGUCUGGCUAUUAAACGUCCGGACACCGUCAAGCGCGCCCGGAGUAACCUACAACAAGACCGCCUGGCACAUUCCGAGCAAGCGUAGCAGUGCGGCCCCAACCCCACCCCUCGCGAAAUUGCAAAACCAGUACCACACGUACAUAAUUACGCUCUGAAAUACCAUGGGCAUAAGGGGAGGGGCACAACCACGGCACGCCCUAAAUGCGGCUCAACCGCACUAGGGGCUCCCGAUUUUGUCAUUUCUUUUUUCUUACUUUCAGGACUCCACUCUCCGGAAGGCCUGUCCGGCAGUACAAUUGCCGAACACACGAUGCAACAGCCAGGGAGGCAGCAAGCUACGUCGAAUGCCCAAGUGGUCUCUAUAACGAGCUAAAUACCUGUCUUACAUAAAGUCUCGCAGCUUGCCCCUGGAGGGGGACAUGUCAAAUAAUCCCAUCUCUUGCUUAUCGCACUAUUUGUAUCGUUCUGCUUUCACAGCAGCCUUUUAAUAAACAAUACAUAGCUCUUGUCUACUAUUGCAUUCAUUUUCUUAUGUAAAUAUGUUUAGUUAUGACAUUAUGCAACAGUACACUUUGGUACGGCCAAUACACCAGGGGCUUAAGUACCCCAGAAUAUGGUGUGAGAAGUCCGAACACUCUCGCGAGUGUGGCACCCCGAACUUAUAGCAUUAUAUGCAUCGGCUCCGAAUCAUGUCUUGGGUCAAUAGUUGGGUUUGCCCGGCUCCCAUGUUUUGGUACCUUACGUUCCGUUAUAUCGGCUAAGGUAGCGCUGGGAGAACUACUACGAUUGUGCCCCGGUUGAGCUGGGUUAAGCACCUCGGAAGAGAAAGCUAAAACUGACCGUCAUGAUAGGGCGAGAGCCGGUCGCUGUCGAGAGGUUUUCGAGUCCCUAAAGACUUAUGCCGCUUAGAGCGAGGAGCUGGCUUUGUCCGGCCUAGGCGUGGAUAGCGCCCCGAACUCGGUCUUCCGAAUACUAGGGGCUUCGUCGAAAUAUAAAAUUAUGGAAUUCUAUUGCUAAGUGAGAGUGAUAAAGCAUUAUAGUCCGAUUGCCUUGUUCGUUGUGCUGAGCGCCUCCCUCAAAGGACCCAAGAAUGGGAACAAGAGCGCUCAGGUUUAUCCCGAACUCCCCAGCACUCGUGGCAUGGGGAUAGAAGCCGACGACUCGCCAUCUCUCAGAUUUAAUAAACAGCCGCACAGAAGGUAAUAUUUUAAAUUCAAAAAGCGUUGCUUAGCGCAUAUGAACAAGUUUUCAGCGCACGGGAUAACACAAGCGAGUUUACUCAAAAAUUACAUCCUUGGAACACUCAUUCGCCACAAGGAAGGCACCCUUUAGGACGCCCUCAUAAUACAACUCGGGCUUGCGAUGCUCCUUCCCCUCCGGUGGCCCAUCUGUCACCAGCUUCUCAGCAUCCAUCUUGCCCCAGUGUACUUUAACACGGGCAAGGGCCCUACGGGCGCCUUCGAUGCAUACGGAGCGCUUGAUGAUUUCAAGCCAUGGAUAGGAAUCCACCAGCUGCCUCACCAGCCCAAAGUAGCUCCCAGGCAUGACCUCCCCAGGCCAUAGCCGGCCUAUAAGGCCCUUCAUGGCCUAUUCGGCUACCUUAUGGAGCUCGACCAGCUGCUUCAGCUGGUCGCUCAAGGGCACCGGGUAUCCGGCUCAACAUACUGGGACCAGAACACCUUCUCCGUCGAGCUCCCUUCCUCGGCUCGGUAGAAUGCGGCAGCGGCGGACACACUGCGGGGCAGAUCUGCGAAUGCUCCUGGAGAGCUCCGGACUCGGGUAAGUAACAAGUAAUUCACUUUCACGUGCUUGCUUUGCAUAAAGAAUGCCUUACCCGCCGCUAUCUUCUUCAUCGCCUCAAUUUCCUGGAGGGCUUUUUGGGCUUCGGCCUUGGCAGAUUUGGCGCUCUCAAGAGCCGAGGCAAGCUCGGACUCUCAAGUCUUUGAGUCAAGCUCCAAACUCUCGUGUUUUUUCACAAGAGCAUGGAGCUAUUGCCGCACCUCUGCCACCCGUGCCUCCUGCUUUUCUCGCUCGGUGUGCUCCACGGCCGCAUUGUCUUCGGCCUUGGACAGCGCUUCCUUCAAGGUCGCCACCUCGGUUGUGGCCCCUGUAAUACUCACGUUGGUCCUAUCAUUAUUUGCAACCAGAUCUUUUUAUAUACUUACAUAAGGUACUACUUACCUUCCUUGUCCUCGAGCUGCUUCUUGGCAAGGCCGAGCUCGUUCUCGGACCGCUCGAGGCUCUGCUUCAAUGCAUCGACCUCUGCAGUCAGUGCGGCAGAGGUCAGCAGUGCAGCCUGCAUUCCCAUAUUGACAUACUUAUGUUAGACUCCUGCGUAUAUCUUUUUAGAUCCUCAGUCCGGCUUUUCUUUCCGAACACCAAACUGAGCAUCAGGGGCUACUGUCUAUGCGGUAAUAUUUUUACAUGUCUUAAAUACAUACCUCAAAGCCUGUUAGAAGUCUGGCACAGGCUUCUGUCAGCCCGCUCUUGGCGGACUGAACCUUCUGGAUCACCGCACUCAUAAUAGUGCGGUGCUCCUCGCCGAUGGAGGCACCGUUAAGCACCUCCAGCAAAUUAUCCGGUGCCUCCAGUUGGACGGAGGUCACCGGCGUCGUAGGCUUGCCCUUCUUGCUAGGGGGCCGCCUGCCGGACUCCAGAACCACUGAAGGUUUCGGUGCGGUGUCCAGCCCAGGGCCGGACUUAGAGCCCUUUGGGGUUUCAUCCCCUUUGCGCCUGGAGUCCGGGAGGUCGCCUUGCGGCGCCUUUAGGACCACCUCCUCCUGGCUUGGCCCCUUUUGGGACUCCACCUCGGCAUUGUCCGUAGGGCGAGGGGAGGUAGCAGUCGGGAGUGAAAGACUGUUCACAUCUGACAAAUCCCGGGAGCCGCUCGACAAAGCGUCGAGCCAGGCCUUGGGCGGACUGCAUGAUUAUAUUCGGCGUCAGAAGAUACUGUGCAAUAAAGGAAUGCCAUGAGUUAUUCUAGUAUCCGGAUACUUACGAUUUUGCCAGGGGCUUGGCCCUGGAUGGCCACUCCUCUUCGCCAUCGUCGGCGUUGGUGGAGUAGUCCGGAGGAAGGGUCUUUCCAUUCUUGGACCCUCCGGCCCCCCUAGUUGGGGCGGCCUUCCUUUUCUUUCCUCCCCCCGUUGGAGGGGGAGAGGCCUCUUCUUCCUCCUCCUCGUCUCUGUGGGAGGAGUGUGCUUCGGAGUCAUCGGACGAUGAAUCCGACAACACCAGGCGUCGGGAACUCUUUCGAGUUCCCGUGGCCUUCUUCUUGGCCUUCUUCUCCAGCACCACGUAAGGUGCCGGGACCAGCAGCUUCGCCAAGCGGGCAUCUGCUGGGCCUUCAGGCAAAGGAGCCGGACAGUCGAUCUGUCCGGACUUCUUCUACCAGUCAUGUCAAAGGAACGGGAGAUUAGAUCCCGUAUAGAGUCAAACUAUGAAAAAAAAGUAUCCCGUGAAGGGUAAAACAAGCUUACCAUGCUGGCUUGGCGCUUCACGCAGAAUCCGCGAUCCUCGGUAAUGGGAGGGGGAACCUCGGCGCCCUUGAAUAGCACCUUCCAGGCAUCCUCAUGCAUUGUGUCAAAGAGCCUGGACAAAGUUUGGUGCUGGGCUGGGUCGAACUCCCACAAGUUAAAAGCCCGUCGUUGACAUCAGAGGAUCCAGCGGAAGAGCAUGACCUGGACUACGUUGACAAGUUUAACCUUCUUGUCCACCAGGUUUUGGACGCAGGUUUGGAGUCCGGUCAGCUCUCCCGAAUUACCCCACGACAGGCCCGUCUCUUUCCAGGAGGUGAGCCGUGUGGGGAUGCCAGAUUGGAAUUCGAGGGCCACUGCCCAUUCAGGGUCACGCGGCUCGGUGAUGUAGAACCACCCCGAUUGCCACCCUUUGAUGGUUUCCACAAAGGAGCCCUCGAGCCAUAUUAUGUUGGGAAUCUUGCCCACCAUGGCGCCUUCGCACUCCGCUUGCUGGCCUCCCACUACCUUCGGCUUGACAUUGAAGGUCUUCAGCCAUAAGCUGAAGUGGGGCUUGAUGCGGAGGAAGGCCUCGCACACGACGAUAAACGCCGAGAUGUUGAGGAUGAAGUUCGGGGCCAGAUCGUGGAAAUCCAGGCCGUAGUAGAACAUGAGCCCCCGGACAAAUGGGUGGAGUGGGAAGCCCAUUCCGUGGGGGAAAUGGGGGAGGAACACCACCCUCUCAUGGGGCCUGGGGGUGGGGAUGAGCUGCCCCUCAUCUGGGAGCUGGUGUGCAACAUCAUUGGACAAGUAUCCGGCUUUCCUCAACUUUUUGAUGUGCCCCUCCGUGACGGAGGAGGCCAUCCACCUGCCUCCCACUCCGGCCAUGGCUGGAGAAGGUUGAGGUGGGAAGUGCGGACUUGGGCGCUGGAUCUCGAGUGCGCGGAAAUGGAUAAGCGGAGGAGGAAGAGGGCGUAGAUGAAAAAGGUGGAACCUUAUCCCCUUAUAUGGGCGGACGAAACUAUGUGCCCCCAGCCUGGUAAAACUCGCUUAUCUCCCAAGCGCCAUGAUUAAUGGCACGGUUGGGUUACCCACGCCCGUAUUGAUGAGAAUCCCGGAAUAAGGGGUCACGACCUCUGCUUCAACAAGACGUGCCAAGGAAACCACCACGCUAAACGCGCUGAGGUGGGACAGUAAAACGAUUCGAAUAAAGGCUUGGCCGUGGCGUGAUGUCACGCUGCGGAAUACGUCAGCAGAUUAGAUUGUACAAAUAUUAUUCUCUCUAUGGUGGUAUGUGGAACUUAUUUUGCAGAGCCGGACACUAUCCUUGUGUUCAAAAUCUUCUAUGAAGUAUUCGGAGGAGGAACACGCCUUGCAAUGUCGAAGACAAUCUGCGUGCUAGACUCGUCGUCAUUGAAGCCUGGUUCAGGGGCUACUAAGGGAGUCCUGGAUUAGGGGGUGCCCGGAUGAACGGACUAUAACCUUGGCCGGACUCCUGGACUAUGAAGAUACAAGAUUGAAGACUUCGUCCCGUGUCUGGAUGGGACUUUCCUUGGCGUGGAAGGCAAGCUUGGCGAUACGGACAUGUAGAUCUCCUCCCAUUGUAACCGACUCUAUGUAAGCCUAGCCCUCUCCAGUGUCUAUAUAAACCGGAGGGUUUUAGUCCAUAGGACGAACAACAAUCAUACCAUAGGCUAGCUUCUAGGGUUUAGCCUCUCUGAUCUCGUGGUAGAUCUACUCUUGUACUACCCAUAUCAUCAAUAUUAAUCAAGCAGGAGUAGGGUUUUACCUACAUCGAGAGGGCCCGAACCUGGGUAAAAACAUCGUGUCCCUUGUCUCCUGUUACCAUCCGCCUAGACGCACAGUUCGGGACCCCCUACCUGAGAUCCGCCGGUUUUGACACCGACAGUAGGCAUCAUGUCCAUGUCAAGUAGACCGAAACUAUUCUGCAUCUACUACUAUUACUCCACAAAUUGGCUGCUAUUUAGCAUGCAUCUAGAGUAUUAAGUUCAUAAAGAAUGGAGUAACGCAUUAAGUAAGAUGACAUGAUGUAGAGGAAUUAACUCGAGCAAUAUGAUGAAAACCCCAUCUUGUUAUCCUUGAUGGCAACAAUGCAAUACGCGCCUUGCUGCCCCUACAGUCACUAGGAAAGGACACCACAAGAUUGAACCCAAAGCUAAGCACUUCUCCCAUUGCAAGAAGGAUCAAUCUAGUAGGCCAAACUGAACCGAUAAUUCAAAGAGACUUGCAAAGAUAUCAAAUCACGCAUAUAAGAAUUUAGAGAAGAACCAAAUAAUAUUCAUAGAUAAUCUGAUCAUAAAUCCACAAUUCAUCAGAUCUCGGCAAACACACCGCAAAAGAAUAUUACAUCGAAUAGAUAUCCAAGAACAUCAAGGAGAACAUGGUAUUGAGAAUCAAAGAGAGAGAAGAAGCCAUCUAGCUAAUAACUAUGGACCCAUAGGUCUGCGGUAAACUACUCACACUUCAUUGGAGAGGUAAUGGUGUUGAUGUAGAAACCCUCCAUGAUGGAAUCCCCCUCCGGCAGGACGCCGGAAAAGGCCCCUAGAUGGGAUCUCAUGGCUACAGAAGGUUGCGGCAGUGGAAAAGUGGUUAUGUGCCUCUCCUGGAUGUUUUCAGGGUAUAAGAGUAUAUAUAGGCAAAGGAACUAGGUCAGGGGAGCGACGAGGGGCCCACGAGGUAGGGGCGUGCCCUUCUUCCCUUUCCUCAAGCUCUUCCUGGAUCUUCUCCAUAGUUGAUUGGAUCUCAGUGAUCUUCACAUCUAGAUCAUAAAUCUUUUUCUCAAUGAUCUUUUCAAGACUCGCUUGAUUUUGAGUAUGGGUGGCCAAUCCCUUCUCAAUCCUCAAAGUAGCCUCAAUCAGAUAGCUGAGUUGAUCCUGUUUGGUCUUGAGGAUCACAUGUGAAGCAUCUGGAGCACUAGCUGGCUUUGCUGCUUUCUCUGUCUUUGCUUUCUCUCUUUCUCCUGGGCUUCUGCACAUGUUGGAUGAGAGGCAUCCAUGACAACUUCGUUGUCCUCGAAUUCUUGCCUCAAGGGAAGAUGCUCUUCGUCAAGUAGAUAUAUCCCUUUCCCCAUCUUGGAGUUGAUGAGCAUCUGAAUGUGAGGGGCAUAUCCACAAGAUCUCUUUUGAUCAGCUGCAAUCCUUUCACUGUUUCAAUAAUGAGACUCAUGACCUUGAACUUCUAUGACACAUCAAAUAAAUGCAGCAAGUUGAUAUAAUGGCCACAUAUCAUCCUAUGAUCUCCUGACGUAGGCAGCAAAGUGUGCCUCAUAAUGGUGUUGAUAGUGGGUAAGCCAGAGAGAAGAUAGUAGAUGGAUCCAAAUUUAUGAGUCUCGAAAGCCUUAUCAGGAAUUUCCUGGUAUGUAUGUGCCAUGGAAUUGUGGUCCUUCCUGGUGUUUGCAUACACAUCAAUGUCAUUCUGUUCUUCAGUAGGGGCAUUGAUCAAGUUGGCCCAUUUAGCAAUAGUAGACUGAUAUCUUGUGCCUUCAGUCAUCCAUACUAUCUUACCAUCUGGAUAGAAGUGUGCAGUGGAGUAGAAUUGCAUAAUCAUCUCAUCAUUCCAUUUUGUUAGCUUUUGUCCAACAAAUUUGUCCACAUCAUUCAACCUGAAGCUGGCAUGCACUCCAGGGAAGUAAUCAGCAUUGUUAUCUAUGUACUUCCAGUCAACCCACUUCAUAUCAGAGACAAUGGGCUUCUUGUCCAGCAACACAGUUUCAUAGAAGUCCUGUUGUUCCUUGGUGUGGAAUCGAUAGUCAAUAGCAGUCCUUCUCCUCACGGCAUAAGGAUCAGACUGUCUCCACAGUCUUAGACCUGCAUCCUUCCUAUCCUUCAUGUUUUCAGCAAUGGGAUGGUUAUCAUCAUGAUCUGGUAUUUUGGGCUUCAGCUUCCUGAGCACUUGAUGUUCUUCUUCUUCUUUAACUUCAGGCACUGGGCCUUGUUCUUCUCAGCAGCAGAGAUAUUCCUGGUGGAUCUCUUUGGUAUAGAUGGCUUUGAAGCUUGAGCAGCAGCAGGCUUAGGGUUGUCUUGGGCUUAGAUGGAGCAGCCCCAGACUUGAUAGCAUCCCCCAUAAGCUUCUAGGUCUUUGCAGGAGGUGCAACAGGCUCUUCAUCCUCCUCUUCUUCAGAAUCCCUGACCAUAGAAGGCUUGCCAAUAACUCUGGCCAUAGUCUUCUUGACUCUUUCUUUCCUUUUCUUUCCUCCAGCAACCCCUUCUUCUCUUGGUUCAAGAGUGAACUCCAUAGAUUCCUGAAUGGAGGCUCUGGCUUUGGACAUGGGCACUCUCUUGGCAGGAGCUUUCUUCUUCAUGCCAGGCAUGGUGGAGCCAGCUGUACCAAAUUCCUUCUUGACAACUUUCUUCUUUGAGGUUACUUCCUCAACUUCAAAAUCCUCAUCCUCUGAAUCUAAGGUUCUCUUCUUCCUUUGCCUGACAGUGGCCUUAGGCAGGUUGCUUGGAGUGCUUCUGCUUCCUUCAUCAAAGCUGAUGUUGGAGGGACUAGUGCCUUCACUAAGAUUUGCUUGCUCCUCUGAUCUGUUCUGACUAUCAAUGUUGUCUGACAUCUUUGAAAUUGUCCCUGUGGAUAGAUAGGAAUAGGUAGAGUAGAUGAGCAUCAGAAAGCACAUCUAUUUUGGAAAAAAGUUAACACAAAAACUUAAUUUUAGUUUUCUGCAGAAAGCAUUUCAGAGCUACCAAUUUGCCCAACCCGGUGACACCAAAGCAGCUGCAGAGUCUAAAUGCGAUUUUGGUUAGACCGAGAUGCAGUUUGGUGACUCUAAGAUGCUAUGGUUUCACAAAGUCAGUGAUUUCGGUCACACCGAUUUGUACACUUUGGUCAGACUGAGUAGUACAUGUGCAAUGGCCUGAGCCAAAUCUGUGAGACCGAGACUUUUAGAUCGGUCGGUCCGAGAUGAAUUUGAUGGAAACCUAACCCUAAGUUUUUGCAUGAAAUCUAAUCUAAAGGAAGUUUUAGGUGGAUAGAUUAAUCUCAAUCGUGGCAAGAAACUUGUCAUUGAUCUUUGUGCAAGAAUCAGAGUUAAAGAGAGCACAAAGAGAUCGAGUCUGUACCCUAACUUGGCGGCAAACUCGCUAUGGCGACAACAACGAUGGAGAUUCCCGUUGACGGCGGUGUAGACCAGCGGCAGGAGGUCGCUGGCGACGAGGAGAUGAUCCAGAGACCUAGAGGGGCGGCAUAGCUGGGUAGGCGCGGUUGAGAGUUUGAUGAAAUUUCCAAAGUCCAACCCGCGGAGUAUAUAUACCCAGUCACUAUUGGUGUGACCAAGUGGAACGAUUCGGUGGCACCGAGAUGCAAAACUGUGAGCAGUUACUACAACUCGGUGUGACCGAACAGUUCUAAUUGGUUGCACUGAGGUGAAAAACCUAGAUCAACCUAAUGAUUUCUGUGAGACCAAGUAUGGUGGAUCGGUCUGACCGAGAUGCAUUAAGAGGUUUUGGAAGUUUAAGUCCUCGACGGUUCGGUGCCUCUGGGUGCUCCUCACUCGGAGGGUCCGAAUUCAACUUGUUCAAACUUUGUGAUGUAGCAAGAAUAGAGUUUGAGACGAGAAAAAGCAUAGAUAGCUAGAGGGAGUACUUAGGCAUUCUUGUCCAUCCAUUUGGCAAAAAGAAAAACCAAACAAUCAAAGCAACAAAUGGAUGUUCACGAAUGGAGAAAAUUAUGCACCAACAUGCUCACACAGUAAGAUAGCAAAUGAAAUAUGUGGCAAAGCAUGCACAAACACUCUAGCAUCUAUCAAUCAAUUGGCGAUGAAUAGGUCAUCUAUAUAUGAGUAUAUUGUCUUAGGAGUCAAAUGAGAACAUUUGAUCAUAGGUCAUACUCAUCGUUUAAGCACAAGUGGGGUUACCACUUUUACAUAAAGCAUUGUUUUGUUCACACCAUUAGAGUUGCUUUACCUGAAUUCUUAGAGUAAAGCUCCCCCUAGAUGUGAUAUCCCCUUUAAGAGGGAUGAACUAACCUUGGGUUUUGUCGAUGAUGACUUCAUGUAGAUGUUGAAGAUGUGGAUGCUUAAUGUUGAUGUAGAUCAUUUGGAGCAAUCCAUUGGAGUGAGUUGCACUUUCAAUACCUACAUGGGUUAGUCCCACAAGGAACAAACAAGAAUAUCCAUAGACAUAGAGUGAAUUACACAUAUGAUGAUGUCCAUGGAGGAAUUUGGUUACCUUGUCCCUAGACUUACCAAUAAGAGGGUUUGUGACUCCUUGAACUAGUGCAAGAUGUGGAAGUUGAUUGCACUUAUCCUUGCCAAUAUGAAUAUGAGUGAAGUAUGUUGGCGGAGUCACCCUCAAGAACUCUCUAGUUCUUCUUCUUUGGGAUCCACAUCAACUUGAUGGGAAUCCUUGGAGUUGUAGUAGUACUUGAUGAAGUAGAACUUGAUGUAGUCUUCGGAACCCACUUGACCAAGGCCUUUGGAGCUUCUUCAAAUGGAUAAAUCUCCUCCUGAAGCUUGUCCUUUCCUUUUAGCUUGUGGUUGUUGAGGGAGCCCUGGAUUAGGGGGUAUCCGGACAACCGAACUAUAUACUUUGGCCGGACUGUUGGACUAUGAAGAUACAAGAUUGAAGACUUCGUCCCGUGUCCGGAUGGGACUCUCCUUUGCAUGGAAGGAAAGAUUGGCGAUUCGGAUGUUAGAUCUCCUUCUCUGUAACCAACUCUGUGUAACCCUAGCCCCCUUCGGUGUCUAUAUAAACUGGAGGGUUUAGUCCGUAGGACAAGGACAACAAUCAUAAUCAUAGGCUAGCUUCUAGGGUUUAGCCUCUACGAUCUUGUGGUAGAUCAACUCUUGUAAUACUCAUAUCAUCAAGAUCAAUCAAGCAGGAAGUAGGGUAUUACCUCCAUCAAGAGGGCCCGAACCUGGGUAAACAUCAUGUCCCCAGUCUCCUGUUAGCAUUAGCCUUAGACGCGCAGUUUGGGACCCCCUACCCGAGAUCCACCGAUUUUGACACCGACAUUGGUGCUUUCAUUGAGAGUUCCUCUGUGUUGUUGCUGUAAGGCUCGAUGGCUCCUUCAAUCAUCAAUAACGACGCGGUCUAGGGUGAGAAUUUUCUCCCCGGACAGAUCUUCGUGUUCGCCGGCUUCGCACUGUCGGCCAAUUCGCUUGGCCAUCUGGAGCAGAUCGACAGCUACGCCCCUGGCCAUCAGGUCAGGUUCGGAAACUUGAAUUACACGGACGACAUCCGCGGAGACUUGAUCUUUGACGGAUUCGAGCCUACGCCAGGAGUCGCGACGAGCACGACUUAGAUCUGCUGUUGGACAGUAUUUAGGAUAUCGCACCUCCAGCAGAUCCGGACCUAAAUCUGGGGCAGAUCGCAUCGUCUGAGGACGGGUGGAUGGACCCCGCCACGGAGGCCGCAUACUCAUCGGCGGUAGAGCCGAACAUAGACUCCACCUCUAAGGAAAUAUGUGUCACCGGACCCCCGGACUUGUGUCCGGCUGUAGGUUUCAGACCGCGCGCGCCCGGGCCCAUCGAAUCCGAUUGGGCUUCGGUAAUGGAGUUUACCACUGCGGAUAUCUUUCAGCACUCGCCCUUCAGCGAAGUGCUGAAUUCAUUAAGGUCUCUCUCUUUGUCAGGAGACUCUUGGCCGAACUAUGUCCAGCUCGAGUGGGAAGCAAAUGACGAAGAAAUUUGUUACCCACCCACCACCCACUUCAUUGCCACUGUCGAUGAUUUAACCGACGUGCUUGACUUCGACUCCGAAGACAUCGACAGUAUGAACGACGAUGCAGGAGAAGAACAGGAACCACCGCCCACAGGGCGCUGGACAACCACCUCCUCAUAAGAUAUAUAUAUAUAUAUAUAUAUAUAUAUAUAUAUAUAUAUGGUGGACACCCCCAAAGAAAACAAUGGUGAUGAGGCAAUAGAGGAUAACCCCUUAGCGAAGCAAUCAAAGCUUGGGCGUCACCAGCGCCGCUCUAAGCUCCGCCACAGCAAUUCCGACACAAGAGAUGAAAACAAUCCAGAUGGUGCCGAAGAUGAAUACAACCCCGAUCAGCCUACCUUCGAGCAUGUCGGACAGGGAGACGGGCUGACUAGCCCAGAUAAACAGGUGACGGACGGAGACUUGGAGGAUGACAAUUAUAUGCCUCCCUCCGAAGACGAGGUGAGCCUCGGCGACGAUGAAUUCGGCAUGCUUGAGGAUCCCGUAGAGCAGGAGCGCUUCAAGCGUCGGCUUAUAGCCACUGCAAGAAGCCUGAAAAAGAAGCAGCAGCAGCUCCAAGUUGAUCAAGAUCUACUCAAAGACAAAUGGACUGAGGUCCUGGCAGCCGAGGAAUACGGACUCGAGCGCCCCACCAAAGGUUAUCCAAAGCACAAGUUGCUACCUCAACUCAAGGAGGAGGUCCUAGAGCCUACACUACUAGCACAGGACGAGGCUGACCGGCCACCUCGUGGCCGAGACAAAACGGCGUAUCAGCCCGAAUACUAGCCCGCACCCCCACGCCAAUACAAUACGGCCCGGGGCAAUACGCAGGACCUGUGAGACAUAUUGGAAAACAAAGCAGGACAGCCCAGAUCGAUCUACAGAUCAUGGGGGCGCGCCCCAGCACAUGACGAUGACCGUCAUGCCAGAUACACUAACAAUAAAUCCGGCCGGGCCAAACAUAACCGACCAGACUUAGUCGAACUGCGUCGUGACAUAGGCUGGCAUAGAAGCGCCGCACACCCCCUCUGCUUCACUGAUGAAGUAACAUAUCACGACUUCCCAGAAGGGUUUAAACCCGCAAACAUCAAAUCAUACGAUGGCGCAACAGACCCCGUGGUAUGGAUCGAAGAUUUCCUUCUCCACAUUCACAUGGCCCGCGGUGAUGAUCUACAUGCCAUCAAGUAUCUUCCGCUUAAACUCAAAGGACCGGCCCGACACUGGCUGAAUAGCCUGCCAGUGAACUCCAUCCGCAGUUGGGAAAACCUGGAGGACCCGUUCCUCAACAACUUCCAAGGCACCUACGUGCGACCACCGGAUGCUGAUGACUUAGGUCACAUUACCCAACAGCCCGGAGAGUCAGCCAGGAAAUUCUGGACUCGGUUCCUAACCAAAAAAACUAAAUCACCGACUCUCCGGAUACCGAAGCCACAUCAGCCUUCAAGCAUAAUAUCCGGGACGAGUGGCUCGCCCGAUACCUCGGCCAAGAGAAACCGAAGUCCAUGGUGGCCCUAACGACACUCAUUACCCACUUUUGUGCGGGCGAAUAUAGCUGGCUGGCUCGUAACAACAACACAGCAAACACCCUUGGCACAUCAGAGGCUAGAGACAGCAUCCAUAAACCUCGACGCAACAAACAUAAGCGUCACAAGAACAAUGAUGACGCCCAAGACACGGCAGUCAAUGCCGGAUUCCGUGGCUCCCAGUCCGGUCAGCGGAAAAAGACACUUCAAAAAAGCAAUUCGGGCCCAUCCGGCAUGGACCGCAUACUUGACCGCCCAUGUCAAAUUCAUGGUACCCCAGGAACAGCAGCCAAUCAUACCAAUAGAGAAUGUCGGGUCUUCAAACAAGCCGGCCAGUCACGCGCCGAAAACAAUAGAGGGGUCUCAAAGCAAUGAAGACAACGAGGAGCCCAGACCAUCAAGCAAUAUAGGGCAAAAGAAACUUCUCCGCAAACCAACAUAGUGAAACGUGAUAAACACCACCCUGGAGGUUGUCUUCGGAUCACCAAACAAUCACCAUACCGAAGAGUCAGUCUUCGACAUUGUCCCCCUAUACAGCAACUAUUACGUACUACCGGGACGAACCACGUUGGAUCGAUUCAACGCGUACCACACCGUGCCUAUGGCAAGCUUAAAAUACCAGGCCCACGUGACAUAGUCACAAUUACGGGCAAGGCCGAACUCCACCCCGGUGUCGAAGAGUAUACCGCCACUGAAGCAGCGAGUCGUGCCUCUUUAUCGAACCUUGAUUCGACAGCAAACCUCCCGGACACCAACAAAGGAGUCCGAACUACUUCACGGCAGGAUAGCUCGGCUCGACCAGGCGUCAAUCAAACACUCUGGCAUAAGUUGGGAAGGGUCACACCCCGCGGUUCAACCGCUCCAUGACACACAAAUGUCUCUAAGCAUUUUUCUUUGCAGGCUCGCUUUUGCGUAGAACAGGACUGGCGACGUGGAAUCAGCUUAGAUGCACAAGGAGGGAAUAUAUAAAUACUCCCCCAAAAGACAAUCCGUAUAUACUUCGGAUCCGCACACAGCUUCCUCCCGCCCGGUCUCAACAGGUUCCGCCAUCAUACCUCUUAAUAUAGCAUUAACCGCACUCAUACGCAUAAACGUGUCACUCACAACAUAUAGAGUUACAGGACGCUUACAUGCUGUCAUUUCUCAUUGACACCUUUCGUCGUAACGGCAUCCGCACAUUGUGUCAUGCCUUAAUACGCCAGGGGCUUCAUUAUACCCAUACUAUGGCAACAAAGUCCAGCCACCCUCUCGGUUGCUCGGCACCCCGAACUUAUAGUAUUAUAUGCAUCAGCUCCGAAUCAUGUCUUGGGUCAUUAGUUGGGUUUGCCUGGCUCCCAUGUUUUGGUACCUUAUGUUCUGCUAUAUCGGCUAAGGUAACGCUGGGAGAACUACUGUGAUUGUGUCCUGGUUCUUCCGGACGAGCACCUCAGUAGAGAAAGCCGAAAACUAACUGUCAUAAUAAGGCAAGAGUUGGUCAGCUGUUCGAGAGGUUGUAAAAUCUUUAAGGAUUUAUUCCGCAUAAUGACAUAAUAAAUGCAGAGUGCGACGGAUCGGUCUUCCAAUCAGGUGCUGUUAGAGCCCCUCGUGCGGUCUUCCGAACACCAGGGGUUGCGCCUACCAUACUCGAAUUCCUAUGGCUAAGUGAGAGUGAUAAAGCCCUAUAGUCUGAUUGCCUGGUUCGCUAUGUUGAACACCUCCUUUAAGGACCCAAAAAUGGGAUAAAGAGUGUUCAGGUUUAUCUCGAACACCCCUAUACUACCUACGUGGGGGCAGAAGCCGACAACUGGCCAACUCUCAAGAUUAAUAUAUAAAACGGCCGCGCGGGAGAAAAAACUUUCAUAGAACAGGCAAUACAUAAAUAAAGGUGACUUUGUUCCGCCUUACAAAGGACAGCAUGAUUGUCUUCAUGGAAAUACAAUGUCUUUGGUACAUUGCUCCGCCAAAAGGCGGGCUCCUUUCAGGACACCAUCACAAUAUAGUUCGGGCUUGCGGUGCUCCUUCCCCUCGGGCGGUCCCUCGGUCAUCAGCUUCUCAGCAUCCAGCUUUCCCCAGUGCACUUUCGCGUGGGCAAAUGCCAUUCGCGCACCUUCUAUACAGACCGACUGCUUAAUGACUUCGAGCCGAGGACAAGCACUCACAAUUCACUUCACGAGCCCAAAGUAACUGCUUGGAAUUGACUCGGCAGGCCAUAGCCGGACAAUCAAGUCCUUCAUGGCUAGUUCGGCCGCCUGGUGCAGUUCGACCAGCUGCUUCAGCUAAUCGACAAAUGGCACCGGAUAAUUCAGCGCCAAAUACUGCGACCAGAAGAGCUUUUCUGCAGUCUUCUUCUCCUUAGCUCGAUAGAAUUGAGCGGCAUCAGAUAUGCUGCAGGGCAGCUCCGCAAACGCCCCUGGAGAAAUCAGUUCAAUUUGUCAUCUUGAACUUCUCCUAUUACUACAUAGAAAUGGCUUUGAAUAAGAAACAGCCUUACCUACCGCAAUCUUCCUCGCCUCCUGAAUGUCCUUCAGAGCACCUUGGGCUUCUUCCCGAGCAUCAUUUUGCAGCUUGGAGAGCUUGAGCGAGUUCGGAUUCCUUCCCUGAUAAACUCUGCUCCAAAGUCUCGCUUUUCUUAACGGCCUCCUGGAGCUCUCAUUCAGCUGCAAUGACCUUGGCCUCGUGCUUCUCACGAAGAGCCUGCUCCGUGGCUGCCUUCUUUUCGGCUACAUCCACAGCCUUCUUAAGCGCCUCAAUUUUGGUGUUUGUCCCUAGAGCGUGCAAUAUAAAUACUUUUAUCCGGCACACAUACUUAUUUGUGCUAAAAAUAACAAGGUUUCGACAUACCUCGAUUGUCCUCCAACUGUUUCUUUACUCGGCCAACUUCUUCUUCGGCCCGCUCUAGACUCUGCUUUAGUCCGGAUACCUCCGCGGUAUGGGAGGCAGCAGUCACUAUAGAUGCCUGUUUAUAAAAGAAGAAGGACAUGUCAUCAGCUAAGUAUCCUGCGAACAGAAAUUUGAUCCCCUGUCCGGUUCUCUUUUUCACCAGACAGUGUAUCAGGGGCUACUAUCCAUACUGUGACAAUCUACAAAAGCUCCUAAAAGCAUACCUCAAAGCCUCUUAUAAGGCUGAUGCAGGAUUCAUUCAGACCACUCUCCGCAGACUGAAUCUUUUCAAUCACCGCGCCCAUAAGGGCGCGAUGUUCAUCAAUGAUGGAAGCACUCUUUAGCAUUGUCGAUAAGCUGCCUUGCGGCUCUGGUUGGACAGAGGUCAUCAGCGGAGCAGGCUCGCCUCCUCCAGCCAAGGGGGGCUGCAUGCCCGAUCCUGGAGCCUCAAAGCUUUCUGGGACUAUGUUCGGCUGUGGGCCGAAUUCACGAUCACCCCUACCGUCGACACUCAUGGGAGCCGCCACUCUCGUAUAUCCGGCCCCUAAGGUAUGCUCCUCCUUGUCCAGGUCCCUCUGGGAUGACACCUCAGUGUCAUGCCUGAGCUUCGGGGAAGGGGCCUUCAGGGGCGUCUCGCUCUCUAGGGCAUCUGAGCUCAACGAAUCCUCCGAUGAGGACUGUUCGGCGCGAGACCUCACCGGGCUGCAAAAAGUGUGGCACCAAUUAAUUUAUUAUGCCUCAAUAAUCCUGGACGCAUAGGUGUGUUCGGAUUUCGUGUACUCAUGAGUUUUCCAGGGGCUGGGCCCUGGGAUCCCACUCCGGGCUGCUGUCGGUAGCCAUAGUGGACGCCUCUGGCAGGGGAGUUUUUCCCCUCUUAGGCAAUUCGGCCUCCAGAGAUGAGGAGGUCGUCCUUUUCUUUCCUCCCCCCAUGGGGGACUCGUCUUCUUCCUCCUCUUCUUCCUCUUCAGAGGAGAGAUGGGCAUUGGAGUCUUCGGAUUUUGUGUCCGAAGCAUUGCAACGACGAAGGCCGCUUCUGGUCUCCUUGGCCUCUCUGUAGGCCUCUUUCUUUGGCGCCUCGUAAGGCGCCGGGACCAACAUCUUUGUCAGAAGUGGUCCGGCUGGAUCUUCUGGCAGCGGGGCUGGACAGUGUAUCAGCCCCGCCUUCUUCGUCCAUCCCUAGGAUAAUUGUGGGAAGCACGUUAGAGCAUCUUCCUCGGGAUAUGCCAAUGAAACAUAUGGAUGGACAAAACAUAAUGACUUACCGGACUUGCAGGGCAGGACAGUUGGUACCCGCGGUCCGCGGCGGAGUCCGGCCACAGUUUCUCGGACUUAAAAAGCACCUUCCAGAUGUCCUUGUGUGAGGAGCCAUAAAGCUCUCACGGGCUCUGGUGCUCGGCCGGGUCAUACUCCCACAAAUUGCAGGCUCGGUGCUGACAAGGACCAGGCGGACCAACAUCACCUGGACUACAUCCACAAGCUUGAUGACCUUAUCUUCCAUACCCUUGACGCGUGUCUAGAGCAUCGAUAGUUCGUCGGACGAAGACUAGUUCAAGCCCUUUUUGGGCCAGGACGUAAGCCGCAAGGGGGCUCCGGAUCGGAAUUCGGGAGCGGCGGCCCACUUUUUGCCGCGCGGCUCAGUGAUGUAGAACCACUGCUGCUGCCACUCCAUGACGGAAUCAUUGAAAGUACCUGUCGGCCAUGUGACCUUGGGCAUCCUGCUCACCAUGGCGCCUCCGCACUCUGCGUGCUCGUCGUUCACCACCUUGGGCUUCACAUUGAAGAUCUUCAGCCAUAAGCCGAAGUGUGGCGAGAUGCGGAGAAAGGCCUCGCACAUGAUGAUAAACAUCGAGAUGUUGAGGAAGGAAUUAGGGGAUAGAUCAUAAAAAUUGAUCCCAUAAUAAUACAUGAUGCCGCGAACAAAUGGGUGAAGGGGAAACCCGAGCCCGCGAACGAAAUGAGGGAGGAACACAACCCUCUCAAGGGGCUCCGGAGUAGGGACGAUAUGUCCGGCCGUCGGAAGAUGUCGGAUUUCGGGUUCCGGCAGACCCUCUAGGUUCGAACACUGGGGUGCGUACGGAGAUUUCUCCCUCUACCUACCUGCACCUUGCCGCCUCGCUAGGAUCUAAGCUACGAAAGGAACAACACAAGAGACACAAGGUUUAUACUGGUUCAGGUCACCAUUGUGGUGUAAUACCCUACUCCAGUGUGUGGUGUGUGCAUUGCCUCUUGGGCUGAUGAUGAACCAUACAAGGAAGAACAGCCUCGCGAGGGUCUGUUCUUGGCUGGUGCGAUGAACUGCUAGGGGGAGUUCAGUUGCUCUUUCUACUGGUUUCCAGAUGAUGAUCUGAUUGCUCUACCUUGUGGGUGGCUAGUCCUAUUUAUAGGCAAAGGCCCUGGGCCUCUUCCCAAAUAUUGAGCGAGAAGGGCGCCAACAAUUGGCCAUUUCGAAGGGGAACAUCUAGUACACUUAUCCUGACUAAAGUUGGUCCUCGCCUGUCAAAGGCUCUGGUGGUGAUGCCGGCUUGGGCUCCACAAUGACCUCCUUCCUGUCGUUGCGUCGGUCUUGGUCUUGUUGCACCGAAACGGAUGCCUUUGCCUGAUGCUCUCGCCUGCACUUGCUCCCUUUGCACCAAAGAGGAAACAAGGAUUCUGCGCAGGCCGGCGCCCGCCUGGCGCCCGCCUGGCUUUGGUCAUCAUGGCUUGCAUCAUGGGCACCUCGUGAGGUACCCCGACUUGAUCUCUCCGCCUCCUCGCGAGCCAGCCUGACGAGGCCAUGCCUGACGAGCUCCCUGUCGUCCACCCUGCGAAGCUUGGCCCCUCGCGAGGGUCUUGAGCUCGUGUUGAUGAAGAUGGGCCGUGCUGGGCCGCCCCUUGAGCCACGUCGUAGGCCGCAGGCAGGCAAGUCUGGGGACCCCCGUUCGCAGAACGCCGAUAGUAGCCCCCGGGCCCAAGGCGUGCCCGGACUUGGCUGAGCUGAGAAGCGAAGGGGCAAGUGCGAAGCGCCGCGGGCCCUAACAGCCUGCGGCCUUGGGCACCGUGUGGCGGUUGAUUGGACGUGGGCAGCUCCGCUCCCCCACGACACCUCGGCAAUUGCACGAACUGACAAGUCCCUGCAUGCAAAGCGGGUCAUGAUUACCUGUGAUCGUGGAGGCCGGUGGUUGGCCUCCUCUGGCUAUAAGUACGGGACGACGCCUGCCCUUCCGGUCCAUCCCCUCUUGCUUCUCCUUCUUCUUCAUGGCUCCGCCAAAGAGGUUUUCGGCCGCAGAGAAAGGGAAGGCCCGCCAAGUGGGGCCUGACCCUCCCCCACCCAAGCGCGGUCGAGGCUGUCCCCGUAAGCACCCUGCAACUCCCAUGGUGGCUCCUCGCGGCCGCGGAGGUGAUCUCCCGCAUGGUGACGGGCGGCAGGCCGCCGCUGGGGGGCGUGCCAUGGCCGCGCGACCCCUUAGGCUGCGCUCCCACUAGGCAGAGGUUCUGCCGGAGUUCGUUGUGUGGUCGGCGGAACCGGCCAGCACCCGGCUCCAACUUCCUCGCUUCCUCCUAGGUGAGCUUCCGGGUGGCGCCCCGGGCGGCCUCUGGCUUCAGGCGGACGGUUGCUGCAGCCGAGCCUCCUGGGCUUCGCUGGAGGUCUCUGCAGCUGGCAGCCUGGCCCUGGCCCGCGGCUGGCAAAUGUUUGCCCGCGCACGUGGUCUGAGCCGGCGGUGCACCCUUUACUUCAAGUUAGACGGUGAUGCCACCCUCUAUGUGAGGGUGUUCGAGGAAGAUGGUCGCCGCGCUGGGUGCUACCCUGAGAACGACGAUCACGGUUGUGGAUCCAGCCCCAGCGAUGAUGAAGACGACAGCGCGCGUGUGGUCAGCGGCCCUCGUGGUUCAUCGAGCUUUGACGACUCUUCUUCGGGCAGCGGUGAAGGAAAUAUGCCCUAGAGGCAAUAAUAAAGUUAUUAUUUAUUUCCUUAUAUCAUGAUAAAUGUUUAUUAUUCAUGCUAGAAUUGUAUUAACUGGAAACAUAAUACAUGUGUGAAUACAUAGACAAACAUAGUGUCACUAGUAUGCCUCUACUUGACUAGCUCGUUUAUCAAAGAUGGUUAUGUUUCCUAGCCAUGGACAAAUGAAUUGUCAUUUGAUUAACGGGAUCACAUCAUUAGAAGAAUGAUGUGAUUGACUUGACCCAUUCCGUUAGCUUAGCACUUGAUAGUUUAGUAUGUUGCUAUUGCUUUCUUCAUGACUUAUACAUGUUCCUGUAACUAUGAGAUUAUGCAACUCCCGUUUACCGGAGGAACACUUUGGGUGCUACCAAACGUCACAACGUAACUGGGUGAUUAUAAAGGAGUACUACAGGUGUCUCCAAAGGUACAUGUUGGGUUGGCGUAUUUCGAGAUUAGGUUUUGUCACUCCGAUUGUCGGAGAGGUAUCUCUAGGCCCUCUCGGUAAUGCACAUCACUAUAAGCCUUGCAAGAAAUGUAGCUAAUGAGUUAGUUACGGAAUGAUGCAUUACGUAACGAGUAAAGAGACUUGCCAGUAACGAGAUUGAACUAGGUAUUGGAUACCGACGAUCGAAUCUCGGGCAAGUAACAUACCGAUGACAAAGGGAACAACGUAUGUUGUUAUGCGGUUUGACCGAUAAAGAUCUUCGUAGAAUAUGUAGGAGCCAAUAUGAGCAUCCAGGUUCGCUAUUGGUUAUUGACCAAGAAUAGUUCUAGGUCAUGUCUACAUAGUUCUCGGACCCGUAGGGUCCGCACACUUAAGGUUUGGAUGACGGUUAUAUUAUGAGUUUAUGAGUUUUGAUGUACCGAAGGAGUUCGGAGUCCCGGAUGAGAUCGGGGACAUGACGAGGAGUCUCGAAAUGGUCGAGAUGUAAAGAUCGAUAUAUUGGAUGACUAUAUUCGGAGUUCGGAAAGGUUCUGAGUGAUCCGGGUAUUUUCGGGGGUACCGGGGAGUUACGGGAAUACGAGGAAGAAGCAAUGGGCCUCAUGGGCCAAGUGGUGGAAGAGAGGAGGCAGGGCGCGCGGCCCCCCUAGCCCAAACCGAAUUGGACUAGGGGGCCGGCCCCCCUUUCCUCUUUUUCCUCCCUCUCCUUCCUUCUCCUUCUCCUUCCCUUCCUUCCCCUCUCCUAGUUGGACUAGGAAAGGAGGGAGUCCUACUCCCGGUGGGAGUAGGACUCCUCCCUUGGCACGCCCCCUCUUAGGCCGGCCGCACCUCCCCCUCCCUCCUUUAUAUACGGGGGCAGGGGGGCACCCCACAACAACACAAGUUGAUCUACGGAUCGUUCCUUAGCCGUGUGCGGUGCCCCCCUCCACCAUAUUCCACCUCGGUCAUAUCGUCGCGGAGUUUAGGCGAAGCCCUGCGCCGGUAGAGCAUCAUCAUCGUCACCACACCGUCGUGCUGACGGAACUCAUCCCCGACACUUUGCUAGAUCGGAGUCCGGGGAUCGUCAUCGAGCUGAACGUGUGCUGAACUCGGAGGUGCCGUACGUUCGGUACUUGGAUCGGUCGGAUCGUGAAGACGUACGACUACAUCAACCGUGUUGUCAUAACGCUUCCGCUUACGGUCUACGAGGGUACAUGGACAACACUCUCCCCUCUCGUUGCUAUGCCAUCACCAUGAUCUUCAGUGUGCGUAGGAAAUUUUUUGAAAUUACUACGUUUCCCAACAAGCGGCUCCUCCAGCGGUGGCCGCGAUCAGCCUCCGGCCCGCCGCGCCCGCCUGGAGGGAGGUAGCGGGUCCACCCGCCGUCGCGCCUCAGUGAAGCGCAAGAUGGAGUCCUCUUGAGCUCCGGAGGCAGUUCGAGUCUCCGCCGCGAGUUGGUGUCGGACGAGUCGCGCCUGUUUUGUUCAUUUUUUCCUGUGCAAAGAGACAGUAGUGCAGGGCCCCGCGAGGGUGUUCUUGGACUAUUGCUGUUAAUUAUCUUACUGCUUCCGCUAUUGCGGUAUUGUGCCUUUGUGCCGCGCGCCUGCACGCAGAAAUUACUUAGCUCGGGGGAGGCCCGUUGUGACCUUUGCUUCCUGAGGCCGAGGCCUUGUCGAACGCUUCGAGUCCUGUGAGGGUUAGUCUAAAGAGGUAGCUCCCGGCCUCAGCUGCGGAGGCGACCGACCCAGGUCCUGUGUUCGUGUCACGGUGCCCGUGGGGCAUGGACUGGAGGGGUGCUCCUGUAGUGGACCCGGGUAGGGAAGCCUCAAACAAUAAGGGCAGAAAACACUCGCGAGGGUGCCUGCGUUGCUCCCUCACGAGACUUGCGCGAGAGAAAUUGGGGCAGGAGAGCAAAAAAGGCAAAGAGUCACAAGCCAAAGACGACAACAACUUCAAAAAAACCUCGAAUGGGGAUGAACAAGCCAGCCAACUGCAAAAAGCAAAUGAGAAAAGCCGCGUCCGGCACCUAAUCUAGUCUUCGACGUCUUCUCACCAGCACGGAGCUAAAUGCUGCCACUAGGUGUGGGAGGGAGCCCCAGGGCCUGAGGUCGGCCCUCCUGAGACUCCGGGGCGUGUACAGCCCCAACUCAUUAUUAUGUGAGAGUGUCACGGGCGGCGAGCUUCACAGGCAUUGGCCUUCUUCACAGGCUCCGGGCCUUUCUCAGGGAGAUAAACUUCACAGGCAUUUGCCUUCUUUACAGGCACCGGGCCUUUUCCAAAAUGCGACAGCUUCACAGGCGUUCGCCUUCUUCACAGGCUCUGGGCCCUUUCCAAAACACGACAGCUUCAUAGGCGUUCGCCUUCUUCACAGGCUCUGGGCCUUUUCCAAAACGCGACGGCUUCACAGGCGUUUGCCUUCUUCACGGGCUCUGGGCCUUUUCCAAAAUGCGACAGCUUCACAGGCGUUCGCCUUCUUCACAGGCUCUGGGCCUUUUCCAAAACGCGACAGCUUCACAGGCGUUCNNNNNNNNNNNNNNNNNNNNNNNNNNNNNNNNNNNNNNNNNNNNNNNNNNNNNNNNNNNNNNNNNNNNNNNNNNNNNNNNNNNNNNNNNNNNNNNNNNNNNNNNNNNNNNNNNNNNNNNNNNNNNNNNNNNNNNNNNNNNNNNNNNNNNNNNNNNNNNNNNNNNNNNNNNNNNNNNNNNNNNNNNNNNNNNNNNNNNNNNNNNNNNNNNNNNNNNNNNNNNNNNNNNNNNNNNNNNNNNNNNNNNNNNNNNNNNNNNNNNNNNNNNNNNNNNNNNNNNNNNNNNNNNNNNNNNNNNNNNNNNNNNNNNNNNNNNNNNNNNNNNNNNNNNNNNNNNNNNNNNNNNNNNNNNNNNNNNNNNNNNNNNNNNNNNNNNNNNNNNNNNNNNNNNNNNNNNNNNNNNNNNNNNNNNNNNNNNNNNNNNNCUUCACAAGCUCUGGGCCUUUUCCAAAACGCGACAGCUUCACACGCGUUCGCCUUCUUCACAGGCUCUGGGCCUUUUCCAAAAUGCGAGAGCUUCACAGGCGUUCGCCUUCUUCACAAGCUCUGGGCCUUUUCCAAAACGCGACAGCUUCACAGGCGUUCGCCUUCUUCACAGGCUCUGGGCCUUCUCAGGGGUAAAACCUCUGGAGGUGCUGAAUGUUCCACGCGUUCUAGACGGGUACCCCCUCCUGAGUCUCCAAGCGCGUGGAGUCGGGCCUAGAAACAUGAACAACCUUGAACGGGCCCUCGCACAUGGGAGAGAGCUUAUGCAGUCCCUCCCUGGAGAGAACCCGCCUGAGCAUGAGGUCCCCUACCUCGAGAGUCCUGGGGCGGAUGUUGCGGCGGUGGUAUCGCCGCAACGCUUGUUGGUAUCUUGCCGCUCGGAGUGCGGCUUCCCGACGACGCUCCUCCGCCAGCACGAGGUCCGUCCCCCGCAUGGCGUCCUGCUGCGCCUCGUCGAACGCUAGGACCCGCGCGGAACGAUGUCUGACCUCGUGAGGGAGGACCGCUUCAGCUCCAUAGACCAGGAAGAAUGGGGUCUCGCCAGUUGGUUUGGUCGCGGUCAUGCGGAUGGACCACAACACGGACUGAAGCUUGUCGUACCAACCUCGGCCCCAGGCCUCCAGCUUCUUCUUGAAUAUCCUGGUCUUGAGGCCUCUCAGGACCUCCGCGUUGGCCCGCUCGGCUUGACCGUUGCUCCGGGGAUGCGCCAUGGAAGCGUAGCAUAUCUGCGUUCCAAGGUUAGCACGGUAUGUUUUGAAGAGGUUACUAGUGAAUUGCGAACCAUUGUCGGUGAUGAUGCGGUUCGGCACCCCGAACUGGCUCAUGAUGCCCUUGAUGAACUUGACCGCAGAACCUGCGGGGAUGGUGCGGACGGCUUCCACUUCAGCCCACUUGGUGAACUUGUCCACGGUGACGUAGAGGUAGCGAUAGCCCCCUGGAGCCCGAGGAAAUGGGCCCAGGAUAUCCAGCCCCCAGACUGCGAAUGGCCACGAGAGGGGUAUAGUUUGCAGACCUCCCGCCGGCUGAUGGAUCUGCUUGGCAUGGAAUUGGCAGGCCUCACAAGCCUUCACCAGUUCGACGGCAUCAUUGAGCGCAGUGGGCCAAUAGAAUCCACUGCGGAACGCCUUGCCAAUGAGGGUCCGUGAUGAUGAAUGAUGCCCACAGUCUCCACCGUGUAUAUCCGCCAGCAAUUCCUUCCCUUGCUCCCUAGAGAUGCAGCACAGGGACACAUCAUUCGGUCGCCUCCGGUAGAGUUCUCCAUCUCUGAUGUAGUAUGUUGUGGCUUGCCGCGCCACACGCUCCGCUUCCUCCUCCUUCUCUGGCAAGGUCCCUUGCAUCAAAUAGCUCCGGAGCUCCAUGAUCCAGCACCCCUCCCGAGGCUCCAUCGUCAAGAGCAGACACACCCCUGAGGCCGGGCCGCAGACUAGGGCUCCCGAGGCUGGCGGCUGGGGGAGCUCCUCUCGAGGCUGCACCGCGCUCGACAGCGAUGGCGUGGCCGAGGGCUUGAAGAGCCGCUCCUCAAAGACGCCAGGCUCCUGAGGUAGCCACCUGGAUGCUCGUUUGGCGAUGUCGUCGGCCUCCUGAUUGGUGCCACGGGGCACAUGCUGCAACUCUAGCCCCCAUAACUGCUUCUCCAUCCUGCGAACCUCCGCAAGGUAGGCUUCCAUGUGCUCAUCCCUCGGCUCGUAUACUUUGUUGGAGAAGUUGACGAGGAGUUGUGAAUCCCCCUUGAUGGUAAGGCGCUUCACUCCUAGGGCGGCCGCGGCCUUCAGGCCUGCUAUUAAGCCUUCAUAUUCUGCUAUGUGGUUGGAGACCUUUUCUCCGUGCUGGAAACAGAGCUGCACGGCGUAGUAGAGCUUGUCUUGAGUAGGAGAUAUAAGCACCACACCAGCCCCCGCGCCGUACCUGGAGAACGCCCCGUCGAAGUACAUGACCCAACCGUCCGGUGCCUCGCUUCCCGGGGAGAGGGAUCUAUCGUCAUCAGCCUUGAGGCCCGGCGCCUCCGUCCACUCUGCCAUGAAAUCUGCCAAGGCGGCCCCCCUGAUGACUCUGGUUGUGCUGAAUUCGAGAUGAAACGCUUGCAGUUCAAUGUUCCACUCAGCGACUCUUCCAGCUGAGUUAGGGCUCCUGAGCACCCUUUCCAAAGGGCACGCUGAGACAACCUUGAUGGGGUGGUCCUGAAAAUAAUGCCGCAGCUUGCGCGAGGCCACCAAUAGCGCGAGGAGGAGUUUCUGAGGCAUGGGGUACCGCGCCCUUGCAUCCCGCAACACUGUGCUGACAAAGUACACAUGAUGUUCAACGAGGUUGGGAAUGCUGGUGUCGAUGGCGCCCUCCGGAGACCGUGGCGCCUCCUAAGACAGGGGAGCCCCCAGUGGCUGGUCGCUGGGGGGAGGGGUCUCUGCCGUCCCGAGUGUAUUCCCCAGCGGCGGCUGAUCCUUCUUGGUUGUGGUAGUGGUCUCUGUGGGUCUUCCUUGUUCACGCUUCGCCUCGACCCAGGCAAAUGUUUUAGCCUUGUUCCGACGCUCCUCCCUAACCGCCACCAGGGCUGCGCUGGCGGAGUAGGGAGUGGCUGCAAGGUAGAGCACCAGGGGCUCCUGAGGGCGCGGGGCCACCAUUACCGAAGGGCUGGUUAGGUACCUCUUGAGAUCUUAGAACGCCUUGUCGGCCUCUUCAGUCCAUUCAGAGGGUCCCUUUUUCUUCAUCAGCUAGAAGAAAGGCAGCGCUCGCUCCCCCAACUUGGAGAUGAAGCGUCCUAGUGCUGUCACGCGCCCAGUGAGCUUCUGCAUUUCUUUGACGGUCUUUGGCGGGCUCAUGUCCUCGACCGCCUUGACCUUUUCUGGGUUAGCCUCGAUGCCUCGGUGGGACACGAGGAAGCCCAAGAGCUUGCCUGAGGGGACCCCAAACACACACUUCUCUGGGUUGAGCCGCAGGCUCACAGCGUUGAGGCUUGUGAAGGUUUCCUCUAGGUCUUGUAUCAGGGUCUUGGCCUCACGAGACUUCACCACAAUAUCAUCAACGUAAGCCUCAACGUUCUUCCCGAGCUGCAGGCCCAAGGUGAUGUGCAUCAGCCACUGAAAGGUUGCCCCUGCAUUGUGCAGCCCGAACAGCAUGCAUGUGUAGCAGUACGCCCCACAUGGGGUUAGAAAAGCCAUUUUUUCCACAUCUUCUACCACCAUCUUGAUCUGGUGAUACCCAGAGAAGGCAUCCAAGAAACAUAACAGGUCGCACUCGGCGGUGGAGUCGAUGAUCUGAUCAAUGCGGGGGAGCAGAAACGGAUCUUGCGGGCAAGCUUUGUUGAGGUUGGUGAAGUUGACACACAUACGUUCCUUCCCACCUUUCUUUGGCACGACGACUGGGUUGGCCAACCAAUCCGGGUAUCGAACCUCGCGAAUGACCCCUGUAGCUUCCAACUUGCGGGUCUCUUGGAUGAUGAAAGCCUGCUUUUCCAUGGACUACCGCCUUGCUUUCUGCUUCACGGGGCGGACAUUGGGGCAUACAUUGAGGUGGUGCUCGAUUAUGCCUCUAGGGAUCCCCGCUAGCUGAUCGGGCUCCCAUGCGAAUUCCUUCUUGUUCGCACGCGGGAACUUGACCAGGGCCUCUUCCUGCUCGGGCUCGAGGUUGGCGCCUAUGGUGAAGGUGGCGUCAGUGGAUCCGUCCUCGUCAACCAGCAUCUGCUUGGUUUCUGCCUUGUCUUGGGUGAACAACUGCUUCUUCUUGGCCGGCACAGCCUCCUUGGGCUCGGGGGCGUCCGAGUCGGCAGGCUGCACCGACGCCGCCGCCUUAAAGGCGAGCUUGAGCGCUUGCAACGCAUCCCCGGUGUCUCCGCACACGGUGAGGACGCCGCUGCUCCCGGGCAUUUUCAUGAGGUUGUACAUCGGGUGAGUCGCGGCCAUGAAUCAGGCCAGCGCUGGGUAGACGAGGAUGGCGUUGUAUGGGAGCCCGAUGGGGGCGAUGUCGAAGUCGAUUAGCUCCGUACGGAAGUUGUCGUAGGUGCCGAAGGUUACCGGGAGAUGGAUCUGCCCCAGGGAGCUGGAGGACCCGCCCUCGAUGCCCAAGAAGGGCCGGCUGGGCCGAAGCCGCUCCGGUGGUAUGUGAAGGAGGCUGAAGGCUUCAAUCGAGAGCACACUGAGGCCCGCGCCGCCGUCGACGAGAGUCCUGGUGACGGCCACCUGGCAGAUGGUGGGGGUGCAUAGCAUCGGGAGCAUGCCCGAGCAGACAGAGUUGGAGGGGUGGUCCUCCGAGCUGAAGGCCAGACUGGCCUUGGGCGCCGACCGACCUGAGGGAGCCCCCUGCCGCGUGGAGGUAGCGCCGACCUGGCGGACGAAUGGCUUGACGCGGUGGCCUGAAGGUGGCGCCUGCGAGCCGCCCAGGAGGGCCGCGACGACCGGAGCGGGUGGCGUGCUGCUCAUCGCAGGGUGAGUCGUAGUGUCGGCGGAGGACGGGUUGGCGGAGGGAGAAGCUCUGGCGCACCCCUACCUGGCGCGCCAAAUGUCGAAUUUCGGGUUCCGGCAGACCCUCUAGGUUCGAACACUGGGGUGCGCACGGAGAUUUCGCCCUCUACCUACCUGCACCUCGCCGCCUCGCUAGGAUCUAAGCUACGAAAGGAACAACACAAGAGACACAAGGUUUAUACUGGUUCAGGCCACCACUGUGGUGUAAUACCCUACUCCAAUGUGUGGUGUGUGGAUUGCCUCUUGGGCUGAUGAUGAACCAUACAAGGAAGAAUAGCCUCGCGAGGGUCUGUUCUUGGCUGGUGCGAUGAACUGCUAGGGGGAGUUCAGUCGCUCUUUCUACUGGUUUCCAGAUGAUGAUCCGAUUGCUCUACCUUGUGGGUGGCUAGUCCUAUUUAUAGGCAAAGGCCCUGGGCCUCUUCCCAAAUAUUGAGCGAGAAGGGAGCCAACAAUUGGCCAUUUCGAAGGGGAACAUCUAGUACACUUAUCCUGACUAAAGUUGGUCCUCGCCUGUCAAAGGCUCUGGUGGUGACGCCGACUUGGGCUCCACAAUGACCUCCUUCCUACCAUUGCAUCGGUCUUGGUCUUGUUGCACCAAAAUGGAUGCCUUUGCCUGAUGCUCUCGCAUGCGCUUGCUCCCUUUGCACCAAAGAGGAAACAAGGACACUGCAAAGGCCGGCGCCCGCCUGGCUUUGGUAGUGAUGGCUUGCUUCAUGGGCACCUCGUGAGGUACCCCGCCUUGAUCUCUCCGCCUCCUCGCGAGCCAGCCUGACGAGGCCGUGCCUGAGGAAGCUCCCUGUCGUCCACCCCGCGAGGCUUGGCCCCUCGCGAGGGUCUUGAUCUUGUGCUGAUGAAGAUGAGCCAUGCUGGGCCGCCCCUUGAGCCACGCCGCAGGCUGCAGGCAGGCAAGUCUGGGGACCCCCGUUCCUAGAACGCCGACAGAAGACAGUGGCCAAUUUUCUUGGCCAGAUAUCCAGCCGCCCGAAGCUUUUUGAUAUCCUUCUCCUGGACGGUAGAGGUCGCCCAUUUGCCUCCUGCUCCGGAUCCGGACAUUUUCGGAGAACCUCUUUUGGUGGGGGAGACGAACGUCUGGGCACUAGGGCUCAGGCAAAGGGGAAUGGAUGAGCAAAAGGAGAAGAGGGCGUGGGUGGAGAAGAAGGGGCCUUAUCUCUUUAUAGAGGCAAUAAAAACUUUGUGCCUCCCUGCUUGCCUAAUAGAACCUGCUCGUUCCUCACUCACCGUGAUUGGCGGUACGGUUAGGUUGCCCACACCCGUAUUGAUGAGAGUCCCGUGAUAAGAGGACACGAUCUUUGCUUCGACAAAACGUGCCCGGAAAACUGCCUCACAAUAUGCACAGUAGAUGGUUGAGAAACGGUUCGGAUAAGGACCUGGCCACAGUGUGACAUCAAGUUAUUGUCAGCGGAUUCGUUUCGUGAAGAAAUAUUGUUCUCUCUACGGUGGUGUGUGAAAUUUAUUUUGCAGAGCUAGACAUGAUCCUUGCGUUCGGAAUCUACCUUGGAGUAUUUGGAGAUGGAACCCGCCUUGCAAUGUCGAAGACAAUCUGCGCGCCGGACUCAUCGUAAUUGAAGCCUGGUUUAGUGGCUAUUGAGGGAGUCCUGGAUUAGGGGGUAUCCAGACAACCGGACUAUAUACUUUGGCCGGACUGUUGGACUAUGAAGAUACAAGAUUGAAGACUUUGUCUCGUGUCCGGAUGGGACUCUCCUUUGUGUGGAAGGCAAGCUUGGCGAUUCAGAUGUUAGAUCUCCUUCUCUGUAACCAACUCUGUGUAACCCUAGCCCCCUCCGGUGUCUAUAUAAACCAGAGGGUUUAGUCCGUAGGACAAGGACAACAAUCAUAAUCAUAGGCUAGCUUCUAGGGUUUAGCCUCUACGAUCUCGUGGUAGAUCAACUCUUGUAAUACUCAUAUCAUCAAGAUCAAUCAAGCAGGAAGUGGGGUAUUACCUCCAUCGAGAGGGCCCGAACUUGGGUAAACACCGUGUCCCCAGUCUCCUAUUACCAUUAGCCUUAGACGCGCAGUUUGGGACCCCCUACCCGAGAUCCGCCGGUUUUGACACCGACAGUCGUGUGUUGGAAGAUCAUCUUGAGCCUGUGUUACCUUAGGGGCUUUAGCCAUGAAGCAUCUUCCAAUUCCUUCAAUUGGUGAGUCAAAUAUGUUGUAGGAGUUGGUUGACACAAGUGCAAGACCGGCAACAUCUUCAUCUUGAGUAUAUUUGGAGUCGGAGUGAUAACUUCUCUCGGAGUGCUUGUCAAAGUCGAAACUGGAUACCCAUUCACCAACAUGAGCUUGUUGUCUUCUUUUUGUGUUGCUCCUUGAUGCCUUGUCCUUCCUAUCCAAAUCCUUGCUUCUACGAGAGGGUCUUCGUUCAUAACGAUCAUCUCUACUCCUCUCUCUUGGAGGUGAUUCAUCUCUUCUACUUUUCCUUUUAGGUGAGUCUUCUUUUCUUUUGUAGGGAGCCGUACACUCAUUGGAGUAGUGUCUGGGUCUUCCACAAUUUUAGCAAUUUCGAACACGACUAGAAGAUCUUUUGUCAUGGUAGGACCUUGAUUUGGAGCUUCUCUCUUUGCUUCUACUCUUGUAGAAUUUGUUGAAGUUCUUCACCAUUAAGCUCAAAUAUUCAUUCAAGACUUGUUUUUCACUUGAUGUGGUAGGAGCAUCACAUGAAGCUUUAUAAGCACAACUAGACUUGUUGUGAAGCUCUUCCUUAUCAUUGAGUGACAUCUCAUGAGCAACAAUUCUUCCAAUGACUUCCGUUGGCUUCAGAUCUUUGUAAUUGGGCAUCAUUUGGAUCAAAGUGCACACGGUAUCAUAUUUUCCAUCCAAGGCUCUUAGGAUAUUCUUGAUGAUGAAUCUAUCAGUCAUCUCUUCACUUCCUAAGCCAGCAAUCUCAUUUGUGAUGAGAGCAAGCCUAGAGUAAAUUUCAGCGACUCCUUCACCAUCCUUCAUUUUGAACUUGUCAAGUUGACUUUGAAGCACAACCAAUUUGAUUCCUUGACGGACUCGGUACCUUCGUGCAUAUCAACCAAAGUAUCCCAAAUUUCCUUUGCAUUCUCAAGACGGUUGAUUUUGUUGAAUUCUUUGGGGAACAAUCCAUUGAAGAGGAUAUCAUAAUCUUGUGCAUUGUAUUGCAGCAUCUUCAAUUCUUCCGCGGUUGCUUCACGAUUUGGUUCUCUUCAAUCGAAGAAUUCACCUUGCAAACCAAUACACACAAUAGCCCAAACGGCGGGGUUAUGUCCAAGAAUAUGCAUUUUUAUCUUAUGCUUCCAACUAGCAAAAUUAGUACCAUCAAAGUAAGGACCUCUACGGUGGUAAUUUCCCUCGUUAGACGCCAUACUCCCCUAGGUUGUGAAACCGAGGCUAUGAUCACCAAAAGCUAUGGAAAUCAAGGCAAAUGGAGACCAAAGCUUUGAUACCAACCAGUCAAAAAAAUCUUUGAUACCACUUGAAGGAUCGAAAGUAGGUCUAGAGGGUGGUGAUUAGACUACUUGACCAAAUAAAAAUCUAGCCUUUUCCCAAUUUUAAGUCUAGGCAGAUUUUAGCAACUUAGCACAAGUCAAGCAAUCAACCUACACAUGUAAUUCUAAGAGUGUAGGAGUGAAAACUAAAACAUUGCAUACGAAGGUAAAGGGGAAGGGUUUGGACAAGGCAAACGCAAUGUACACAAGGAGAUUUUUGGCGUGGUUCCGAUAGGUGGUGCUAUCGUACAUCCACGUUGAUGGAGACUUCAACCCACGAAGGGUAACGGUUGUGUGACUCCACGGAGUGCUCCACCCACGAAGGGUCCAUGAAGAAGCAACCUCGUCUAUCCCACCAUGUCCAUUGCCCACGAAGGACUUGCCUCACUUGGGUAGAUCUUCACGAAGUAGGCAGUCUCCUUUCCCUUACAAACUCCUUGGUUCAACUCCACAAUCUUGACGGAGGCUCCCAAGUGACACCUAACCAAUCUAGGAGACACCACUCUCCAAAAGGUAAUAGAUGGUGUGUUGAUGAUGAACUCCUUGCUCUUGUGCUUCAAAUGAUAGUAUCCCUAACACUCAACUCUCUCUCACAGAUUUGGCUAUGGUGGAAAGAUUAUUUGAGUGGAAAUCAACUUGGGGAAGGCUAGAGAUCAAGGUUCUUGUGGUUGGAUUGGAAUGUCUUGGUCUCAACACAUGAGUAGGUGGUUCUCUCUCAGAAAAUGAGUAGUGGAAGUGUAGGCACGUUCUGAUGGCUCUCUCACAAAUGGAGAAGGGGGUGGAGGGGUAUAUAUAGCCUCCACACAAAAUCUAACUGUUACACACUUUUUACCCAACUCGGUCAGACAGAAUAGAGAAACUCUGUGAGACCGAUUCAGUUCAAAAUGUGAACAUUAGGAAUCUCGGUGGGAACGACGAGAUCAAAUCAGUGGGACCGAUGUGCUAGGGCUAGGGCAAAACCUUAUCUUGGUGAGACCGGUCACAUGAACUCGGUGAGACCGAUUUCAGCAAUUAAUCAAACAAAGAGUUAGUCAAGCAAACUCAGUGGGACCGAUCACUCAUUUCGGUGAGACCGAAAUGUUAUGAAAAGGAAACAAAGAGUUUGCAAUGCAAACUCGGUGGGACCGAUCGCUCAUUUCGGUGACACCGAAAUGUUAUGAAUGGAAACAAAGAGUUUGCAAAGCUAUCUUGGUGGGACCGAGAGCUGUAUCAGUUUGACCAAAUUGAUUAGGGUUUCUCGCUAUGGCUAUGUCAAGUGAACUCGGUGGCGCCAGAUAGAUAAAAUUGGUGGGGCCGAGUUUGAUUUUAGGUUUUGGACAAAUGGGGAAAUGAUAAAGUGGUUGAGGAUUUUGGAGAAAUAUCACUAAGCAUUUUGGGCAAGCAUGCCAUUAAGCAACACCUCAUCCCCUUUUAAUAGUAUUGGCUUUCCUAUGGACUCAAUGUGAUCUUGGAUCACUAAAAUGAAAAUGAAGAGUCUUGAGCCUUUGCCAAUCUUUGUCCUAAGCAUUUUGAGGGGUCCACAUCUCUAGUACAUGCCAUGCCAAUCAUUGAACUUUCUGAAACAUUUAACUUGAAUGGCUAUUAGUUCAAUCGGCUACAUGUUGUUAUGAAUUACCAAAACCAUCCGGGGAUUAGUUGCACCUUCACACGCAACACUAUGUAAACGGUACUUGCACACAAAGAACAAAUACUUGCAACCCGACGUAAAAGAGGGGUUGUCAAUCCCUCCCAGGUAAAAGGAUAGAUAAAGUUGUAGUGGAUUGGAUAAAAGAUCUCACGGGAACGUGAGAUAAAAUAAAUAAUAAAAAUUGCAGCAAGGUAAUUUUUGGUUUUUGGAUUAAUAGAUCUGCAAAUAAAAGCAAAUAAAGAUAGAUCUCGAAGGCAAAUAUCAUAAAGAAGAAACCCGGGGUCGUAGAUUUUACUAGUGGCUUCUCUCGAGAAAAAUAGCAUACGGCGGGUAAACAAAUUACUGUUGGGCAAUGGAUAGAACUUCAAAUAAUUAUGACGAUAUGGGCAUCACGUCCAAGAUUAGUAGACCGACUCCUGCCUGCAUCUACUACUAUUACUCCAUACAUCGACCACUAUCCAGCAUGCAUCUAGUGUAUUAAGUUCAUGGGAAAACGGAGUAAUGCAAUAAGAACGAUGACAUGAUGUAGACAAGAUCUAUUCAUGUAGGAAUAGACCCCAUCUUGUUAUCCUUAAUAGCAACGAUACAUACGUGUCAUGUCCCCUUCUGUCACUGGGAUUGAGCACCGUAAGAUCGAACCCAUCACAAAGCACCUCUUCACAUGGCAAGAAAAAUCGAUCUAGUCGGCCUAACUAAAUCAAAGAUUCAAAGAAGAAAUACGAGGCUAUAAGCAAUCAUGCAUAUAAAAGAUCAAAACUCAAAUAACUUUCAUGGAUAAAAUAGAUUUGUUCAUAAACUCAAAGUUCAUCGGAUCCCAACAAACACACCGCAAAAAGAGCUACAUCAAAUAGAUCUCCGACAGACCAUUGUAUUGAGAAUCAAAAGAGAGAGACAAAGCCAUCUAUCUACUAACUACGGACCUAUAGGUCUACAAUGAACUACUCAUGCAUCAUUGGAGAGGCACCAAUGAUGAUGAUGAACCCCUCGUGAUGGUGUCUAGAUUGGAUCUAUGGUUUUUGGAACUUGCGACGGCUGGAAUUCUGUUUUGUCGACUCCCCUAGGGUUUUUGGAUUUUCGGGGUAUUUAUAGAGCAAAGAGGCGGUGUGCCCAAGUGGGUUAUGCUCCCCUCAGAGCCCCACUUUGGUACUUCCUUGGCCCAACUUGUGUCUUCUAGUCCAAAAAAAUCUCCAAAAAAUUUUGCUGCGUUUGGACUUCGUUUGAUAUUGAUUUUCUGCGAAGUAAAAAACAAGCAAAAACAGCAACUGGUAGUAGUCACUAUGUCAAUAGGUUAGUGUUGCUAUAAAAUGAUUGUAAAACAUCCAAGAAUGAUAAUAUAAUAGCAUGGAACAAUUAAAAAUUAUAGAUACGUUGGAGAUGUAUCACACCUUACAUGGUUUUGCCCCUCUAGUUACAUAAACGUCCCGAGAUGGGCUCAACAAUUAAGGCCCAUUGGGACUCCAUGCUCAAGUUCCGCUCAGGACUAAUAUGAGUCUGAGUGGUCCACUCGGAUCCCAUUCGACUGAACUAGUCAGAUAUGAGACACUUACCCUGUCGGAUUCUCCAUGCUUGCGUUCUUUGUUGUUGGUGUGCUUCCCUUAUCACUGCCGCGAAAUCCACCGAUGUUCAGCAUCCCGAGACGCAGAUCCAGUGGCGCCACCCUCUGACAUCAUCGACCAAAGCAAUAGAUAGUGCAUAAUGGUGAUGCAUCCUAGUGGAUGUGAAAAUUAAAGUGAGCGACGAGGAACCUAGGGUUAUUUUUUGGAAUGGGUGGGGAAUUGACUGCACGAACCAGGAACAUAUUGUUGUUAGAGAUCACAGUUUCAGGUCUUACCACUAGAUGCACAGUCACGACAUCAGACAGAUACUUGGCGAAGCACACACUACAGGAAUCAGCUUAUUUGUCGACCGCCAUGGCAGACGGCAAAGGCACCAAAGGCGGACGGCAAAGCUCUUUGUUUUCUGCCACCGACGGCAAAGCUGUCUGGCAAAGAGGACGACGGUAAAUAGGUCUUUGCCAUAUGCUUUCUCGACGCGGACGGCAAAGAACGUUUGCCAUUUAUGGCUGAUAGCAAAGAAUUCGGACGGCAACGCACAGUCGUUACCCACAUUAGGUGGCUAACGGCAGCCUUUGUCGUCCCCUUUGCCGUCUGCCACGAACGGCAAAGAAACCAUAUGGUAUAACGCCUAGGUUGUACAGGUUGCUGCCACAUGGUCUGUUUGCCGUCCGUGGCAGAUGGCAAAGAGGCCUUUGCCAUCGGUGGCAGACGGCAAAGAGGCUGCAUUGUCUCAUUUUUCUGUUUUUUCUUACAUCCAAGAAAUUUCACAGCAAAAUAUAUGAUAUAUAUAUAUAUAUUCACAGGCACAACAGACAUAUGACAUAUCCAACACACAGGUUUCAUCAUACAUACAUAACUAACACAUAGUUCCAUCCAUACGUAUUACAAUAGUUCCACAUUGUUCAUCCAACACAUAGUUCCAUGCAUCCAUAUAACAAGUUCCACAUUAUUCAUCGUUACAAAAGAAAAGCAUAAAGGGGAAACAAACACUCCAUCCAAGCAAGCUUUCGUGAAGUGAAUGAAAUCUGCAAAAUUGGAAACAAGAAAGUUAGAAGAAGAAGAACUGAGAAUACUAAGGUAAAAUGGAGCUAACCUAGCUAAUUGUGCCAUUUUUUAGUGAACUAAGCAUAUUAUGCCAUUUUUUAUAUAAAGCAGCUUAGUAUAGGUCAUUAUUGAGCUAACCUAGGUAACUAAGCAUAUUAGAGCUAAUUUAGAGCUAACUUAUGUCAUUUUGUAGAAGAAGAAGAAGAAGAAGAAGAAGGUUUUACCCCUUUUCCUUCUCAUUCUUCUUCCUUUCUUCUUUAUUUUUCUUCUCUUCUUCUAUUCUUUCUUUUUCUCCCCUUCCUUGUUUUUCUUCUUAUUAUUCCUUAUUUGUGUCAUUUUAGAGCUUACAUAGGUAAUGUUGGAAAUAUGCCCAAGAGGCAAUACUAAAAUGGUAUUAUAUUUCCUUGUUCAUGAUAAUUGUCUAUUGUUCAUGCUAUAAUUGUAUUAACCGGAAACCGUAAUACAUGUAUGAAUACAUAGACCACAACAUGUCCCUAGUGAGCCUAUAGUUGACUAGCUCGUUGAUCAAUAGAUGGUCAUGGUUUCCUGACCAUGGACAUUGGAUGUCAUUGAUAAUGAGAUCACAUCAUUAAGAGAAUGAUGUGAUGGACAAGACCCAAUCCUAAGCAUAUAGCACAAGAUUGUGUAGUUCGUUUGCUAGAGCUUUUCUAAUGUCAAGUAUCAUUCCUUAGACCAUGAGAUUGUGCAAAUCCCCUAUAACGUAGGAAUGCUUUGGUUGUAUCAAAUGUCACAACGUAACUGGGUGACUAUAAAGGUGCACUACAGGUAUCUCCAAAAGUGUCUGUUGGGUUAGCAUGAAUCGAGACUAGGAUUUGUCACUCCGUAUGAUGGAGAGGUAUCUCUGGGCCCACUUGGUAAUGCAUCAUCAUAAUGAGCUCAAUGUGACUAAGGAGUUAGUCACGGGAUCAUGUGUUACGGAACGAGUAAAGAGACUUGCCGGUAAGGAGAUUGAACAAGGUAUGGGGAUACCGACGAUCGAAUCUCGGGAAAGUAACAUACCGAUGGACAAAGGGAAUUGUAUACGGGGUUUAUUGAAUCCCUGACAUCGUGGUUCAUCCGAUGAGAUCUUUGUGGAACAUGUGGAAGCCAAUAUGGGUAUCCAGAUCCCGCUAUUGGUUAUCUUCCAGAGAGGUAUCUCAGUCAUGUCUGCAUGGUUGCUGAACCCAUAGGGACUACAUACUUAAGGUUCGGUGACGCUAGAGUUAUAAUGGGAAUAGUAUGUGGUUACUGAAGGUUGUUCGGAGUCCCGGAUGAGAUCCCGGACAUGAUGAGGAACUCUGGAAUGGUCUGGAGGUCAAGAUUGAUAUAUUGGACGAAGGGUAUUGGAGUCUGGAAUUGUUUUGGAGGUACCGGGUGAUGACUAGUGUGACUGAAAGGAAUUUCUGAGGCCCCAACAAGCGUUUGGGGGCCUUAUGGGCCAAGGGGAGGGGACACACCAUCCCACUAAGGGGUUGUGUGCUACCUCUUGAGCUUGCCUUGGUUUUUCCCUUGAAGAGGAAAGGGUGAUGCAGCAAAGUAGCGUAAGUAUUUCCCUCAGUUUGAGAACCAAAGUAUCAAUCUAGUAGCAAACAACACACAAGUCACCGAAUACCUGCACAAAUAAUCAACAACUUGCACCCAACGUGAUAAAGGGGUUAUCAAUCCCUUCACGGUCACUUCCAAAAGUGAGAUCUGAUAGAGAUAGAUAAAUGGUAAAGUAAAUAUUUUUGGUUUAUAGAUCGGAAAGUAAAAGAUUACAAAAUAGUAGAUUGGAAACUAGUAAGAUGUAAAAGAGAUUCAAUAUAAUGGAAAAGAGACCCCGGGGCCAUACGUUUCGCUAGUGGCUUCUCUCAAGAUAGCAAAUAUUACGGUGGGUGAACAAAUUACUGCCGAGCAAUUGAUAGAAAAGCGCAAAGUUAUAACGAUAUCUAAGGCAAUGAUCAUGAACAUAGGCAUCACGUCUGUGUCAAGUAGACCGAAAUGAUUCUGCAUCUACUACUAUUACUCCACACAUCGACCGACUCCUGCCUGCAUCUAGAGUAUUAAGUUUAUAAAGAACAGAGUGACGCAUUAAGUAAGAUGACAUGAUGUAGAGGAAUUAACUCAAGAAAUAUGAUGAAAACCCCAUCUUUUUAUCCUCGAUGGCAAAAAUACAAUAUGUGCCUUGAUGCCCCUACUGUCACUGGGAAAGUACACCGCAAGAUUGAACCCAAAGCUAAACACUUCUCCCAUUGCAAGAAAGAUCAAUCUAGUAGGCCAAACUAAACCGAUAAUUCGAAGAGACUUGCAAAGAUAUCAAAUCAUGCAUAUAAGAAUUCAGAGAAGAACCAAAUAAUAUUCAUAGAUAAUCUGAUCAUAAAUCCACAAUUCAUCAGAUCUCGCCAAACACACCGCAAAAGACUAUUACAUCGAAUAGAUCUCCAAGAACAUCAAGGAGAACAUGAUAUUGAGAAUCAAAGAGACAGAAGAAUCCAUCUAGCUACUAACUAUAGACCCGAAGGUCUAUGGUAAACUACUCACGCAUCAUCGGAGAGGCAAUGGUGUUGAUGAAGAAGCCCUCCAUGAUCGAAUCCCCCUCCGAUAGGACGCCGGAAAAGGUCCCUAGAUGGGAUCUCAUGGGCACAGAAGGUUGCGACAGUGGAAAAGUGGUUUCGUGGCUCCCCUCGACGUUUUCAGGGUAUAAGAGUAUAUAUAGGCGAAGGAACUAGGUCAGGGGAGCUACGAGGGGCCCAUGAGGGUGGGGAGUGCGCCCUGCCCCCCUAGGCACGCCCUCCUUCCUCGUGGCCACCUCGUUGCCUCUCCGACUUCAUCUCCAAGUCUUCUGGUUUGCUUUCGGUCCAAGAAAGAUCAUUGCUAAAGUUUCAUUCCGUUUGGACUCCAUUUGGUAUUCCUUUUCUGCGAAACUCUAAAAUAGGCAAAAAAACAGAAACUGGCACUAGGCUCUCGGUUAAUAGGUUAGUCCCAAAAAUAAUAUAAAAUAGCAUAUAAAUGCCUAUUAAACAUCCCAAACAGAUAAUAUAAUAGCAUGCAGCAACCAAAAAUUAUAGAUACGUUGAAGACGUAUCAAGCAUCCCCAAGCUUAAUUCCUGCUCGUCCUCAAGUAGGUAAAUGAUAAAAACAGAAUUUUUUAUUUAGAAUUCUACCUAACAUAUUUAUCCAUGUAAUUUUCUUUAUUGUGGCAUGAAUGAUCAUAUCCGCAAGAUUAAAAACAAAAGUUUAAUAUUGAUAUAAAAACAAUAAUACUCAAGCAUACUAACAAAGCAAUUAUGUCUUCUCAAAGUAACAUGGCCAAAUAAAGCUUAUCCCUACAAAAUCAUAUAGUUUGGCUAUGCUCCAUCUUUGUCACACAAAAUAUUCAAAUCAUGCACAACCCCGGUUUCAGCCAACCAAUUGUUUCAUACUUUAGUACUCUCAAACUUUUUCAACUUUCAAGCGAUACAUGAGCGUGAGCCAUGGACAUAGUACUAUAGGUGGAAUAGAAUGGUGGUUGUGGAGAAGACAAAAAGAGGGAGAUAGUCUCACAUCAACUAGGCGUAUCAAUGGGCUAUGGAUAUGCUCAUCAAUAAAUAUUAAUGUGAGUGAGUAGGGAUUGCCAUGCAACGGAUGCACAAGAGCUAUAAGUGUAUGAAAGCUCAAAAAGAAACUAAGUGGGUGUGCAUCCAACUUGCUUGCUCAUGAAGACCUAGGGCAUUUGAGGAAGCCCAUCAUUGGAAUAUACAAGCUAAUUUCUAUAAUGAAAAGUUCCCACUAGUAUAUGAAGUGACAAAAUAAGAGACUCUCUAUCAUGAAGAUCAUGGUGCUACUUUGAAGCACAAGUGUGGAAAAAAGGAUAGUAACAUUGUCCCUUCUCUCUUUUUUUGAUUGGCUUCUUUGGCCUCUUUUUUGCUUCUUUGGCCUCUCUUUUUUCCUCACAUGGGACAAUGCUCUAAUAAUGAUGAUAAUCACACUUCUAUUUACUUACAACUCGAAAAAUUACAACUCAAUGCUUAGAAUAAAAUAUGACUCUAUGUGAAUGCCUCCGGCGGUGUACCGGGAUGUGCAAUGAAUCAAGAGUGACAUGUAUGAAAGAAUUAUGAAAGGUGGCUUUGCCACAAAUACGAUGUCAACUACAUGAUCAUGCAAAGCAAUAUGACAAUGAUGAAGCGUGUCAUAAUAACGGAACAGUGGAAACUUGCAUGGCAAUAUAUCUCGGAAUGGCUAUGGAAAUGCCAUAAUAGGUAGGUAUGGCGGCUGUUUUGAGGAACGUAAAUGGUGGGUGUGUGGUACCGGCGAAAGUUGCAUGGCACAAGAGAGGCUAGCAAAGUGCUUAUAAUCCAUGGACUCAACAUUAGUCAUAAAGAACUCACAUACUUAUUGCAAAAAUCUACAAGUCAUCAAAACCAAGCACUACGCGCAUGCUCCUAGGGGAAGGGUUGGUAGGAGUUAACCAUCGCGUGAUCCCGACCUCCAUACAAAGGAUGACAAUCAAAGAGAUACCUCAUGCUUCAAAUUUGUUACACAACGGUUCACCAUAUGUGCAUGCUACGGGACUCACAAACCUCAACACAAGAAUUUCUGAAAUUCACAAUUAUUCCAAUAGCAUGACUCUAAUAUCACCAUCUUCAUAUCUCAAAACAAUCAUAAAAAAUCAAACUUCUCAUAGUAUUCAAUGCACUUCAUAUGAAAGUUUUUAUUAUAUCCCUCUUGGAUGCGCAUCAUAUUAGGACUAGUUUUAUAACCCAAGCAAAUUACCAUGCUGUUCUAAAGGACUCUCAAAAUAAUAUAAGUUAAGCAUGAGAGUUCAACAACUUCUAUAAAAUAAAGCCACUGUCGUGCUCUAAAAGAUACUAGUUGACCCGUUGCGCCAAAUGGCGCAGAGACCCGCUGAAGACAUAUUGUCGAUGAAAAUAGUUUGAUACUGCAAGAACCUUGAACUAAACCAUGGUAUUUUGUAAACAUGUUAAUUGCAUUGUUUAAUAAUAGUCUGGGAAAAGGGAAAUUUUGCAUAAUAUGAAUAUGUUCAAUCUGAAAAAAUGGCCACUAUAAUGAGGUAGUAAAGUUGGCAUGGUUGUAUUUUUUUAGCAAGUUUGAAAUGAUGGUUAUCAUGAUGAUAAAUUUGUGCAUGCAUAUAUUUCUUGGGAUGAUGAGAGAGUAAAGCUGGCUUGGCUGUAUUUUUUUAGCAAGUCUGAAAACAUGCAGUAUGAUGAGAAAGCAAAGUUGGCAUGGUUGUAUAUUUUUAGCAAGUUUGAAAACAUGGUUAUCAUGAUGAAAAACUUGGGCAUGCAUAUAUUUUUUGGAAAGAAGAGGGGAAAAGAUAAGAAACCUAAGGAAAAAGGAUAUAAUAUAGUCGGUUUAUCUUAAAAUAGUUGAUUUAUUUUAAUAGCAUAGAGUGAAAGCUGAAACAAAAAAAAUAUUAGUUGGUAUGAAAAAUGAAGAUAGAAGUGUUUUGAAAUGUUGUCUCUCUCGAUAAAAAUCGGUAACAAAUUUAAUCCCCUUCAAUUAAAAAAUAUAGGUUUGUUGUCUACAAUAAGAUGUACAUGCACAUUUUACUUUGGUAGCGUGGAGUCUAAUUCAAAACCACAUCGGGUUGAAAAUAUACAUAUUUUCAAUAAUCUUUUGUUUGAGCAAGUACACACGAUAAGAAUUAGACCCUUCUAUAUUAAAAAAAGGUACAUAUCCUUUGCCUAAUAUUUGCCUGACAAAAUGUCCAUCAGAUGAAUCAAUCAAAUAGGAGGAACUGGGGAGUAUUUCAAACCGAAACAAAGAAUUGAUCCUAACUACGUGAAGUGCAUUAGCUUUAAAGCCUCUGAAUUAUUUUGUUGCUACUCCACCAGGAAAGUGGAGGCCUUCAAGAAUCAAAAGACACCACUUGAGCUCUCUUCGGUCUCAUAAGCCCUGUUGUUAUUUAUAUCCUUAACCCCAAAAGGUUGCUCUUAGCAUCUCUGUUGUUUUCUUGAUCCUUAUUAGGUGUCAGAAUAUCCUGAAGAAAAUGCAGUUGAUAUCAUAUUAUCAUUAAAUAAAUCCAUAGUUAACAUGUGGAUCGUGGGGAAUGGCGAGAUUCCAUAUUGGGGUUUGCAACAUGAAUAAAAGACCACUAAUUUAUAGAAGGAGAAAAAAUGCCUGAACACCCUUAAGAAAGGCCAUGACGACGCACUAAAUAUUUCGAAAUGAGAAGUUAUUUUGUCGUUGAAAGAAAAAAAAGAUAAAGCACAAACCUUUUUCAAAUAUGUUCAGC